GCAGUUUGAGCAAAAGAGAGGGCAUGUGGCCUCAGCUGUUGAAUGUUACAUGAAGCAAUAUGGUGUCUCUGAGGAACAAGUAUACAAAGAAUUUCAAAAGCAAAUUGAGAAUGCAUGGCUGGAUAUUAACCAGGAAUGCCUCAAACCUACUGCUGUUUCAAUGCCUCUCCUUGCUCGUAUUCUCAAUCUUACACGAGCCGCGGAUGUCGUUUACAAAGAGCAAGAUUCGUACACACAUGUUGGGAAAGUGAUGAGGGAUAACAUUGCGUCUGUCUUGAUCAACGCUGUAAUAUAACCAAAUGGAGUAGUUGAUUGCCUUGUGGAAGCCGUAAUAUCUAAUAAAUCACUAUAAAAGGAAAAAAGAAAAGAAAAAAGGUCCAAUUCAUACCUUAGCCGCCCCUAAUGGUUUGGGCUUUUGCGUGAAUAAAAACUAUUGUAAUAAUAUGGGAGAGACAUAUAAUGUUUCCUACUAGUUUCUCUCUCGGUUUGGUAGUGCUUUACAUCAUACUAUCACUUGGCUAAAUGUAUUAAUGUUGCUGCGUUGUAAAAACUCCAUCCUAAGAUGCAAACAUAACCAGGUUUGAUAUUGAUUUUCCUUUUCUAUUUCUUGCAUCCAUUUUAAUAUAUGUUUAAAACACUUUGAUCAAGUUUGACACUUUUCUAUUAUUCAAAGAUCACGUGAUGGAGAAAAUUCUCCAUAGAAAAUCACUUCUUGUAGAAAUGGUCUAGAACAUACAAAAGAGAUAAAAAAAUCUUAAGAAUUCAUCCUAACGGGUAAAAUAUUAUUAUUAUUAUUAUUAUUAGACAUGCUAAAAGUUUUAUUAUAUACCUGUUAAAAAUAAAAGUUAUGAUAUUAUAUGAGGUUGGAAUUUGAAGUUCAUUUGCAACUUUUUUUCUUCCUCGUUAUUUUUUUAAUAUACGUAAAGUAUUUUUUUUUAAAAAAAAGACUUACUAAAAGAAUUGUCAUGAGAAGGUUUUAUUUUUAUUUUUUAAUAAUAAGUUAAAAUAAAUUUGAAAAAAAAAAUAAAUUAAUAUUUUUUAACAUUUUAUUUUAAUAUUUAAUUUUGUGCAUGGAUAUGUCAUAAGAUUAGGUUACGUACAUAUAGUACAUGUAAUUAUAAACACUAAGGGAAAGUAGCUCAGGUGCAAAGUUGUCACCUCCCUUCCUACAUGCACUUUCAAGUUUUUUUCAGCAAGCUGAUGUAGCCACUUACGAGAUAAGAUUACCAUAAAUUGCAAAAAAUUAGUGAUGAAUAAAAAAAAAAUAACAAAAUGUCAUGAUUAAUCAAGAUAGAUUAUCAAAAUUUCAACAAAAAAUCAUUGAGUGAAAUUCUUUCAUAAUUUCCUAUACCAGUAAUAUUUCGAAUAUAUUAAUCACGAUUUCCAAGUUUACAAGUUUACCAUAUCUACAAAUUAACAUGUUGAAGAAGUUCGAGAAUAAUUUUUAGAGGAUUAUAAAUGUCUUUUAUUAUUAAAUUUACUUUACAAAUAGCCACAUGUUUAAUUAAGAGUAUAUUCUAAUGGUGCUGAAAACAAAUUAAGACAGGCUUCAAAUCAAAUGUACUUUGCAAUAAAGACUUUAGUGAAUGCAACUUCAAAUGACCAAUAAUGCACGGUAGCAGUACAUUAAUUUUGACUUCAAGGCAUUAAUUCGUAUUUUAUCCAUUACACAACAGAAUAUAUAUAAAUAUCCUUAUAAAAAAUAUAUAUGAUAUUUAUAGGUAACAGCUUUCUUCUUAAGCAAAGCAGCCAAGUAAGACUACAAAAUCUAUACCAAACAGAAUAUCUACUAGGACAAAUUUGGAUAAUUAUUUCCAACACUUAAAUUGAUUGGGCUUAGGUUAAAGUAUUCUUCAACUCCUAGUCAGUUUUAGUUGGGCUCUUACCAAGGUUGUGACAUCUCGAAUCUAACCAAAAGUUUAUAUAAUAUUUAUAUAAUAAUUAUAAUUUAUAUUAUUAUGGACUCAUGCACAUUUUUCACAUGUGCCUACUCAAUGAGGAUACUCAUUUAUUAUGAAAAAUGAUUAUUUGAAAACCCUUUUUAGGUUUUUUAGAGUGAACAUUUAUUUAAAAAAAAAAAAAAAACACAAUAAGAAAAAAAGAAGAGAAAAACCUUAUAUAACUCCUUAUUUGAAAAAAAGAAAAAGAAAAAAGACAAGUUCAUAAACCAAGAUUGAGUUAAAAGUCAAAUUACCUACUGAGAAAAUACGACGAUAAGUCAUACAAAACAACCCUCUAAGCUUAUAUACCUAUAAUCUUUACUAAGCAAAUGAACUGAAUUAUGACGAUUAAAUAAUUGAUUAUGGAUACUCAAGAAAAGAAAAACACAAUUAUAAAACAAGUCAUGGUGUUUGUUAUGUUACAAAAAUGUAAAAAAACAAAUGAUAAGAGAAUUUGCAUAAGUUGAUUUACGAAACUAAUUAAAAACAUGGGUUUAAUUAUUUCUAAAUUCAAAGGAUUAAAAAAGUUAUUUCAAUUUGAUGAUUUCAAUCGAUUUUAAGUACAAAAGAAAGUUUUGAUUUCAUUUUUUUUUUAAAGAAAAAAAUGCUUCAAAUUAUUCUAUUUAUAAAGAAAUGAUUUUUAUUUACUUUUUCUUAAAAAAAAAAAAUAUAAUUUACACAAAUUUUAUUUACCUUAACAUUCCUUUUUGAUUUUUAUGCAAAAGAGAAUACUUUUAUAAUUUUUGCUACAACAUGAUUUUUACAAUUUUAUUUUAAAAGAAAGUAUCCAAAUCUAAUCUUAUGUGCAAGAGAAUCUUUUUACAAAUUAUUUAGGAAAAGGAUUUUUAAAAAUUUAUUUACAAUUUUAUUUAAAAAAAUAUUUACAAAUUACUUUAAAAAAGAUUUGUACAAAUUUAUUAACAAAAAAUAAAUAUUCAGAUCCAAUUUUAUUUACAGAAAAAAAAAGAUUUUUUUUUAUAGUUUUUAUUGAAAAUAAGACUUUUACAAUUUUAUUUAAUUAGUAUGAAAAUCCAAUGUCAUUUUAUUAAUACUAGAAAAAAUUUAUUAUUAUUUUUAUUAAGACAUGAUUUUUAAAAUGUCAUUUACAAAAAAAAAAAAAAAAAAAAAAAGUUUACAAUUUUAUUUUAAAAAAUAUUUUGCAAUUUUUUUAAAAAAAAUGGUUUCAAUGUUUUAUUUAAAACAAAUUGCUUUUUAGAUUUUAUUUUAAAAAAUGAUUUUCACAAGUUAAAAAAAAAUUAUAGUUUUAUUUUUUUACAAAAAAUAAUGAAUUUCCAAAUGUAUUUAAAAUUUAUUUAAAAAUGGAUUUUAUAGUUUUAUUUAGAAAAACACUUUAUUGUUUUAUUUCAAUCUUAUUGUUUAUUUUUUUCUUUAAAAAAAAAAGUUCAAAUUUCUCUCUCUUUCUCCCUCUCUCUGUCCAUACGCUCAUUAAUUUUGAUGUUAAGGUAUCAGCCCAAUUGACAUGAUUUAUACUGACUUAGUCUUUUGGUCUAAUAGGUAACUUAAUGUAAUAUAGGAGGUCAUGAAGGUGAACUGUGAACCUUACUGAUAUUACGCAAACCCUACCAUUUAUUUAUAAUAUUGUUGUCAUAAUAUUGAAAUAUGGGAAAUUUUAAUAGACCAGACAGACACCAAUAGACCAAAGCCACCAAGCAAGAAUUGAAGAAACCAGAAAGCGUUUGUUCCAAACAUAGUAUACUGUAGAACAUGAAACAGAAGCUAGAGUAUACUAUCUUUAUUUGUGUCACAUAUAUCUCCACUCUCAUAUUGGCACAAGGUCUAUGAGCAGCAUUGAAAUAUUAUUUUUUGUCACUUCUCCAGGAUGUGUGAAUAUAUCAUUGUGGCUCUUGUACAUCACAUCUCCUGAUCGAGCAAAAUUGAGAAGACGACUAAGGAGAAGCAUUGGAACUGCAGUAGGUCUGAGGCACUCUUCAUUUAUAUCCUUCCAUGCAUUCUCGAUUUGUUUGUGAAACUCAUCAUAUGCUUGCUGCUCCGACACACCAUGUUGCUUCAUGUAACAUUCGAUGCUUGAUGCAAUAUGCUCUCCCUCUUGCUCAAAUUGCAGAAAUAGAUAGUAAUAGAAGGUGUUAAAAAGAAAUUGAUAUACAUUAGAUUUUCUUUAUCUUUAAGGGAUUGAUAUCCAAGUAUCAGUAGAAAGUGUUGUUUCAUUGUACCUUGUGGGAAGCCAUGUCAUCCAUGAGCCUAAUGAUUAUGUAGGUAGCUCUAACAAUCUUAGGGUUUUGUAGCAGCCAAUCAAAGACUUCCUUGGUUGCAGUCUCUCUCAUGCCAAUAAAAGACAUGAUUGUUAAUCUUCAAAUUGAUAAAUGGUAGUUUUUUCAUUCAUUCUUUCAUUCAUUCAUGUACAGAAUAUAUAUAGAGGGUAAUCACCAUUCUAAGAAUGUGAAAGAAUGAUACAAGGAAAUAAUGAUAUAAGGAAAUAACAACUAAUAUCCUAAUAUCUCAACAUUCUUAAUAUCUCUACUUUCCUAAUAUCUAAACAUUCCUAAUAUCUCAACACUGAAUGAUAUAAGAAAAGAAUGAUAUAAGGAAAACAUUCAUAAUAUCUCAACACUCCCCCUCAAGUUGGUGCAUAGAUGUCACACAUGCCCAACUUGUCUAAAAAAUUUGAGAACACUUGAUUUGAGACAGCUUUGGUGAGGACAUCGGCCAAUUGAUCUUUUGAUCAAAUCUUACGCAAUUCCACAAUCUUAUCAUCCAACUUUUCCUUAAUGAAAAAUCUAUCCACAUCGACAUGCUUUAUACGAUCAUGUUGUACUGGAUUAUGAGCAAUGUCACAUGCGACUUUAUUGUCACAAAACAAUCGGAUUGGUUGCCUAGAUAGGUAACCUAAAUCUUGUAAGAGGAGUCUUAGCCAUAAUGCCUCACAAAGUCCUAGAGCCAUACCUUUAAAUUCCGUUUCUACACUUAAACAAGCGACGACAUUCUGUUUCUUACUUUUCCAUGUCACAAGAUUACCACCUACAAAGGUAAAGUAACCAGAUAUAGAUCGCCUAUCAUCCACUGCACCGGCCCAAUCAGCAUUAAUAUAUACUUCUAUACUCUGAUGAUCAACAUUUUUAGCGAACAAAAUUCCCCUCCUAGGAGCAUUCUUCAAAUACCUCAAAAUACGCAUGACUGCAUUCAUAUGUUGCUCUCCAGGAUUAUGCAUGUAUUGACUCACUACACUCAAUGCAUAAGCAAGAUCUAGUAUUGUAUGAGCUAAGUACAUUAAUCUCCCCACAAGUCUCUGGUAUCUUCCCUUAUCGGUUGAUACUUGAUUAGGCUCAACACAUAAUUUCAGACCUUCUUCUAUUGGUGUAUUAAUAAGUUGACAUCCCGACAUUCUAGUCUCCUGUAAAAGAUCUAAAACAUACUUUCUUUGAGACAGAAAAAUUCCUUCACUUAAUCGAGAAACUUCAAUCCCAAGAAAGUAUUUCAGAGAACCUAAAUCUUUCAUUUCGAAUUCUAUAGAUAGAUAAUUUUGCAGAGCUUUUCUUUCUUUAGGAUCAUUUCCUUUAACUACCAUGUCAUCCACAUAUACAAUGAGUGUCAUAAUCUUACCAUGUUGCUUUUUCAGGAACAAAGUGUGAUUUGAAUUACUUUGACGAUAGCUAAAAGCUCUCAUUAACUUUGUGAACCUUCCAAACCAUGCUCUCGGGGAUUGCUUCAACCCAUACAAUAACUUCUUCAAUUUGCACACCUUCUGACAUUGCUUUUCUGACACCAUGCAUCCUGGUGGAAGAUCCAUAUAUACUUCUUCAGAUCACUCGCCAUACAGAAAGGCAUUUUUGAUAUCGAACUGUUGUAAUGGCCAAUCUAGGUUUGCAGCUAAAGACAGUAAUACUCGAACUGUGUUGAUCUUAGCUACAGGUGCAAAUGCCUCUGUGUAGUCAAUUCCAUAAAUUUGAGUGUACCCUUUUGCUACUAAUCUUGCUUUAUCGUUCAAUACUACCAUCUGCCUUGUACUUCACAGUAUAGAUCCAACGACACCUAACUGGUUUCUUUCCUGGUGGACAUUCUACAAGGUCCCUUGUUUCAUUCUUCUGCAAUGAUUUCAUCUCUUCAUUCAUGACUGCUUUCCACCUUGGAUUAGCUAAGGCUUCCUGCACACUGUUAGGAAUAGCUACAGUAGAUAAUUGAUUUACAAAUGACUUAUUUGAUUCAGACAAAUGAUGGUUAGACACAUAGUUGCUCAUGGGAUAUUUGACUUUGGUAGACAAUUUAGGUUCAUAUGUGGGUUUAGGAAUACCUCUAUUAUGACGGUAUGGUAACCGUUUCAUGAAUAGAUCAGGUUCCAAAUUAAGAACACCCUCAACAGACGAUGAUUGGUUUGGUAUUUCAGUGAAGACAUCUUCGGACCCAAAUUGUUGACCACUCAUAUCCAACUCACCCGCUUCCUGGUUCACUAGUUCAGAUUGUCCAGAUUCAUCCUCCUCAGAGAUAUGAUAAUCAUAAUUGAGAGUUUGAAUUUCCUUAUGGUACUCCCCCUGAAGUUCAGACUCAGAUGAAAAAUGCAUCAAAUCUUCAUGAAACACCGCAUCCAUUGUAAUAUACAUUCAUUGAGUUGGAGGAUGAUAACAUCAAUAUCCCUUUUUGUGUAAUGCAUAUCCAACAAACACACAUUGCAAUGCAUGGGAAGUUAACUUGGUGCAUUGGUGUUUGUGUAGAUGCACAAAUGCCACGCAACCAAAAACACGAGGAGGUAGAUUUGGGGUAGUUGGGACAACUACGACAUUAGUAAGAGCUUGGAGAGGUGUUUGGAAGUUAAUUGAGCUGGAAGGAAGUCGAUUGAUCAACUAUGCAGCAGAUGUGAUUGCUUCUCCCCAAUAAGAUAUCGAUGUUUUUGCUGCUAUCAAGUAAGCACAGACAACCUCUAACAAGUGCCGAUUUUUUCGUUCAGCACAACCUAAGCCUUACUCUUUCAAGGGAAUGUUCCUAAGUCCUAUUGGGGAGAAGUUGUUCUUACUACCACAUACAUGAUAAAUAGAAUUCCGUCACGAGUUUUAGACAACAAAAGCCUCGUAGAGAUACUUAAGAGUUUCUAUCCACACUUCAGAACCUCAAAUGGGCUCACUCCUAGGGUAUUUGGGUGCACUGCAUUUGUUCAUGUCCACAGCCAACAUAGAGACAAGCUAGACCCCCGAGUCAUAAAAAUUGUCUUUCUUGGUUACUCAUCCACUCAAAAAGGAUACAAGUGUUACAAUCCCACAACAAAAAUUUUUUACAUCUCUGCAGAUGUCACCUUCACAGAAAAUAAACCUUUUUUCCCAAAGUCCUAUUUUUAGGGGGAGAUUUCAAUGAUAGAAGAUAGUCCUGAGUCCUUUGAACCUCUUGACCUUCCUCAUGUCUCAACCCAUGGUGAUGAAAUACCUAAGUCAUCCGAGUCAAUCACACUUGAGUCACCCAAUUUUACCACUAAACCCGUGUCAUCUAAUGUUCCAGCCAGUGUCACUCACAAUUUUCCAUAGUUUCCUAAGGUGUAUUCAAGGGAAAAGGCCAUUCCAGAACAAAAGUAUGUCCAAAAAUCCAACUUAGACCCUGGGAAUGAAAUCACGCUAAGAUCAGACCCACCUUUACAUACACAACCUGGUGAAACUUCUACUAACUCAACCUAGACCUAGACCUUCCCAUUGCUAUCAGAAAAGGCACCAGAGAAUGCACUAAUUGACCACUCUAUCCACUAUCACACUAUGUGUCUCUUAAGCACCUAUCACUAGCCCACAAAAAUUUAAUUGUGAGUCUAAACACCACUAUCAUCCCUAACACUGUUUCUAAGGCAUUGACAAAAAGGGAAUGAAAUGAUGCUAUGAGAGAGGAGAUGAGUGCCUUAGAAAAGAAUAAAACAUGGGAGAUUGUUGAAAGACCGAAAGGGAAAAACAUUGUUGAUUGCAAGUGGAUUUUCACACUGAAAUAUAAGACUGAUGGAUCUCUUGAGAGACAUAAAGCAAGAUUAGUAGCCAAAGGGUACACUCAAACUUAUGGAGUAGAUUAUCAGGAGACUUUUGCUCCAGUUGCAAAAAUAAAUGCUAUAAGAAUCCUACUGUCAUUGGCUGCCCACUACAAUUUGGAACUCCUAUAGUAUGAUGUUAAGAAUGCAUUUCUUCAUGAUGAUUUAGAUGAAGAGAUUUACAUGAACAUCCCCCCGAGAUUUGAGGGAAACACGGGUAAUAAGGUGUGCAAGCUAAAAAAGGCCCUUUAUGGGCUAAAACAAUCUCCUAGGGCUUGGUUUGGGAGAUUUGCAAAAGUCAUGAAAGAGUCUGGGUACAAACAAAGCCAAGGUGACCACACUCUCUUCAUUAAGCACUCGGUUGCAGGGGGAGUAACUGCUCUUCUAGUCUAUGUUGAUGACAUCAUAGUGACUGGAAAUGAUGAGAGAGAAAAACAUGAAGUGAAGCAGAGAUUAGCAAUAAAGUUUGAAAUAAAGGAACUAGGGAAACUAAAGUACUUCCUUGGUAUUGAGGUGGCAUAUUCCACACAAGGGAUCUUCAUCUCUCAACAAAAAGUAUGUGAAUGAUUUAUUGGCAGAAACAGGGAAGAUUGGGUGUAAACCAGUGUCUACCCCAAUGGAUCCAAACCACAAGUUGGGAGAAGCUAAAGAAGAACUAGUGGUGGAUAAAGAAUGUACCAGAGGCUGGUUGGUAGGCUCAUAUACCUUGUUCACACUUGGCCAGACAUCGCCUACUCGGUGAGCAUGAUCAGUCAAUUCAUGCAUGCUACAAGAGAACCUCAUCUUCAAGCUGCUUAUAGGGUGCUGCAUUACUUGAAAGGCAACCUCGGGAAAGGAAUUUUGUUCAAGAAGAACAAUACUCUUGCUCUAGAGUAUACACUGACGCUGACUAUGCAAGUUCCUUAGUGGAUCGAAGAUCAACUACAGGGUAUUGUACUUUUCUUGGAGGUAAUUAGGUAACAUGGAGAAGUAAAAAGUAGAAUGUGGUAGCAAAAUCGUCUGUAGAAUCAAAGUUUAGGGUCAUUGCUCAAGGGUUGUGUGAACUACUUUGGCUGAAGAUUAUUCUAGAUGAUUUGAGAAUCAAGUGGGAUGGUCCUAUGAAACUCUAUUGUGAUAACAAGUCAACUAUCAAUAUUGCUCAUAACCCUAUACUACACGAUAGGACAAAACAAAAUAAGAUCGAUAGGCAUUUCAUCAAAGAAAAAUUGGAGAAAGGAGUAGUGUGUAUGUCCUAUGUUGCAUCAGAACAUCAAUUAGUUGAUAUCCUAACAAAAGGGCUGAACAGUUCAAUGUUUCACAGUCUUGUAUUCAAGCUGGGAAUGGAAGACAUCUAUUCCUCAGCUUGAGGGGGAGUGUUGAGCUAUAAAUAGAUAGGAGAAUUAUUUUCCUAUUAUGUUAGUUUCCUAUUUAUGUAAAUAGAUAGUUUUAUUAGUUUCCUAAUUCUGUAAAUAGAUAGUUUUAUUAGUUUUCUAUUUCUAUAAAUAGAUAGUUUUAUGAUUUAGGAAUAAAUUAGUUUUCUAUUAUGUCUCUUGUUUUCUAUUUCUUCUCUUGUAAUCUUCUAUAUAAACUGUGUGUAUGGUCAAUCUAAGAGACAAAAAUUAUUAUUUUCCAUCCCAUAUUUCGUAUCAAGAUGCAUGCCAUAAAAAUGGUAAGAUGAACAACAACAAGCCAAGCAACAAAAAAAAAAAAAAAAUGGAGUUUUUCCACCUUGUCCUCAUUGCAAGAAGACAAAUCAUUCUCCACAAAAAUGUUGGUGGAGACCAGAUGUGAAAUGCAACAAGUGUGGUAAACAAGGACAUGUGAAGAGGAUUUGCAAAAAUCAACAACAAAAAGAAACUAGUGCAACAAUUGACUAUUGUCAAGAGGAGCAAUUAUUUGCAGCAACGUGUUUUGCUAAUAAAAGCACCUCUGAAAGCUAGCUUGUGGAUAGUAGUUGUACAAACCACAUGACAAAUAAUCAAGAUCUCUUUAGAGAACUUGAUAGAACAACUAUUUCCAAAGUCAGAAUUGGAAAUGGUGAGUAUAUUCCAGUUAAGGGCAAAUGAACGGUUGCUAUCAAAAGCCAAAUAGGUUUGAAACUCAUUUAUGAUGUUUUGUUUAUGCUUGACGUUGACCAAAACUUACUCAGUGUUGGACAGCUCGUUGAGAAAUGAUUUAAAGUUUAUUUUGAAGAUAGGAAUUGCAUUAUCAAGGAUGUUGAAGGCAAAGAGGUGUUUAACAUAAAAAUGAAGGGCACGAGUUUUGCCUUGAAUUUACUAUAAGAUGAGCAUGCUGCUAUUUUACAACAAUAUAGCACAACAAUGCUUUGGCACAGAAGGCUUGGGCACUUUCAUCAUGAUGUUGUGCUCUACAUGAAGAAAAAUAAAAUAGCUGAAAGACUUCCCGACUUAGAAAAAGAUCUUCCUAUAACUGCUACUUGUCAAUAUGGGAAGCAAACUAAACUUUCCUUUCCAAAGAAAACAUCCUAGAGAGCAACCCAAAAAUUGCAACUAGUGCAUACUGAUAUUGGUGGACCUCAAAAGACGUCAUCCUUGAAAGGGAAUGUAGGCAUUGUUCACCAGCUCACUGCACCAUAUAAUCCACAACAAAAUGGAGUCGUAAAGAGAAAAAAUAGAACGAUUUUGGAGAUAACAAAAUGCCUUCUGCAUGAAAAAGAUCUACCUAAAGUUUUUUGGGCUGAAGCUACAAGUACAGUAGUAUAUUUGCUUAACAAAUUGCCAACAAAAACGUUAAAGAAGCAGACCCCUUUUGAAGUUUGGUUUGAGUUUCUACGUGGAAGACUUGGAGUUUGCAUCUACUAAGUCAAGAAGGAGUGUUGAAUUUUGACCUAGUAUCUACUAGAAUUUGAAUUUUGAAGUUAAAUAUUGCAGUUGGAGUCUUGCACAAAAUCUAUAACAUCCAAAUAUUUUCUUGUUUUUAUUUGGUCAAGAUUUGGUUUCUAUUUUAUAGGAAGUAGUUGUUCAUCAUCUAGUAGCUUGAUUUUAUGCUAUUCUAAUGUCAUUUCAGUUACAAGCUCAUGUAUAAAUUCAACACUCUUCAUCAAUAAAAUGUGUGUUCCAGCAACCCAAAAUAUAUAUUCUGCAUAAGUGUUUAAAUCUUAGACCAACACAUCCUCGUCACUAGUAGUUGUGCCUCUCAGGUUACCUUUUUUAUCUCUCAGCUCAGCUCCACCUUUGCUCUUCAUGAUCUUGGUUCCCUUUACUAUUUCUUUGGCAUUGGGGUUUCUCAUAGUACUGAUUCUCUUCAUCUCUGCCAACAAAAAUAUGUGAAUGACCUGCUCACUCGUACUGCCAUAACUGAUGCUAAACUUGUUCUUACAUUGGGUUCCUUGGCCAAACCUCUCUCUCUCACUGACGGUGAUCUACUUCAUAUCAUAACAUUGUUGGCGCAUUACAGUAUGUUACUGUUACAUGUCCAAACCUUUCUUUUGCAGUUAACAAGGUAUGCCAGUUUAUGGCUUCCCAACGACUACCCACUAGCUAGCUUUCAAGAAUAUAAAAAGUAGUUAAAAAUAAAAUAAAAAUAUAGACUUAAAAUAAAAAAUAAAUUAAAAAUGAAUAAUUAAAAAUUUUAAAAAUGAUAAAUAUUUUUUUUUUUUUUAAAGUUUUCAAAAAAAUCUCAGAUAUUUUCAGAUAUAUCGGCAAUGUAUCCGAUAUAUCUCUAAUAUUUUGAUAGACUUCCUCUAUUGCUUUGUGCGUCACUUCACACUCGAUUUUUUCGCCGAUUUAUCGAUUUCAAAUUAACCGAAAUAUCAACAUAUUUCGGGGAUUUUUCUGAUAUUCCUCCGUUCAAUAAUGUUGCUUAAUAUCCUUUUAGGGUAGUCCGAUAUCCGAUAUAUUGGCGAAAUAUCACCGAUAAAAACCGAUUUUUCAAUCCAUGCUUAAUAGUGGGUUUCCCUUUUGUUUGGCCUCUUGUAGACCCCCAUUUUGGGGCUCGGUUUUUUUUAUCUCUAUUUUCUUUGUAGGUGUCACCACCCCAGGGAGCCAUGCGUCGCCUCUUUGGUGGUUGAUAGGGAAUCAACAUUGCUUUUCGGGGACCUAUGGUAGGUUGACACGUGGAAGAAUAUUCUGGAGAGCUAAUUUCCGUUAUGGGGGAGCAUAUGAGAGAGGAUAUUCUGCAGGCAUUUUGAUUCUCACAUGUGCAUGAUCACUUUGAGUAUUCAUUGAUUUCCGCAUCAAUUGUCACAUCAGCUUCAUUUUAUUUGUAGAGACCCGACUUUAGGGACUUAGAGGGGUGCUACGGUCUUUACCGUACCUUCCCGAUAAGUAAUCUGACCCCCGAGCUCAAUCCAGUUUUUCACGGACCACCUUUUCCAAAUAAGGAGUCACACUUAGGGUUUUCUUUCUUAUUUUAUUUACCCUUUAAAAAUAAAACAAAAUUAAGUGGCGACUCCAAGUCAUUUUUCUUAAUCAGUAAAAUCAUUUUCAAAAUAAAAAUUGAGCUCGCCAUCGAGUGAAAAACGCAUUAGCUGAAAUGCGGGGUCCACACCUCUGUUUUUUUUAUAAAAAAAAAAAAAAAUCCUUUCCCAUUCUAUGGCCUUGAGUGAGCAUUACGUAUUUCAACUAUUUUGACAUGUUCAAAAUAAAAUACUAAGAAUUUAAAGGGAAUUUGUUCGACAAGUACUUUUUUUUUAACAUAUUUAUUUAUACAUUAUUUAGUUUAGGUUGCAUUAUUCUAUGUAAAUAAUUUAUUGGGUAUGGGAAUUAUUUUUAUAAAUGGCUGAGUAGAUUCAAUUUUAGAUAUUUAUUUAUUGAUCAUGAAAAAUAUUUAUUAAAACAUGGUUUAACAACCAUGCGAUGGAAUCAACCUAUUAAAAAAAAUAAACUAAUACUAUAUUAUUUUAACUUAAAUUAUUUCUUGAUGGUAGCAAUGUUGAAAAAACAAAUAUCAAUAAAGACUAAUCUUAACGAGAAAAUAGUAAUUAACAUAAUUUUAUAUUAACUUGUAAAAUUGGGUCAACAUAUAAAUAUAUUAAUUGUAACAAGAAGACCUACAUUGAUAAUGAAACGUCAAUAUUAGUCUAUAUUGCCAACUUUGAAAUAUUAAUAUAUGUAUAUAGCAUAUGUUUUCAUGAUUAGGAAUUAGAGAAAAUUUUGUAGAAGAUUUUUCCAAAUUUGAAAAUAACUAUGGAAGAAAUUCAACUUAAACACGUUUCUUUGUGGAAGAGUUGCAUGUCUACUCAAGUCUCAGCAUGUUCCCUAGCCCAAAUUUCUAAACCCAAAAAUCACCCUGUGGCAAGCUUGAAGGUAAUUCAAUGAAAAUAUGCUUAAAGCUCAACGGCUAAUUUACUUAUUUGGAAGUCAUUUUUCUCUAUGUGUUGGAUGAUAAAAUUUGUUGGUCUAGGUUACACGUUCCUGCAAAGAAGAGCAGACGGAGGAUCUGAAAAAUGAAUUGAAACUGGAAUUAAUACGUAGUGUUAUUAUAUAUCGAUGGAAAUUAGUUUAAAGUUGGAUAUAUUAAUACUUAGGAUGUUUGGUAAAACUUAAUACUUAUUAUUUAAUUAUUUGAGUUGACUUUAAAUUAAAUUAUACUUAAAUUACUUACUUAAAACUUAUUACUUUAAGUAUUAAGAUAUAAAAUUAACUUAAAGUUUAUUUAAAAUCAUUAAGUUGACAUAUUUAUUCUUAUAAAUUAUAAUUAGAAUAGAAAAAGUUGAGUUUAUAGAGUUGUAAAAGAGAUCAUGAAGGUAAUUAAGACAAAUAAAGAUAAAAAGAUAAAAUGAAAAUAUAAAAUUAAAAAUAAAUUAAUUAUUUUUACUUAUUAUUUAAAGUUAUUUUUUUUACUUUAAAUCAUAUUAUCAAGUUAUUUUAUUAAAUAUGCUUAAUUUACUUAAUGACUUAAAUUAAGUUAUUAAAUUAUUUUAAGUUAUUAAGUUGAUUUAUCAAAUUUCUACUUAUUGAAUACAAAUAUAGAAGGAAAUUAGGAAAGCAAAGUAGAUGGGUUAUUAGGUGAAAGCUUAUCAAAUCCGCCUAUCAACAUAUCACACUUUUACCAAAAACCCACCUCAUGCCAAGCCUAUAAGUUGUCAAGUCCUUAUGAUCCAACAACUUUCUUAUGGUUCCCACACGGAUUUCUAUUGUUAUCAAAACAAAAAGUUUAUAAUAAAAUAUAUAUAUAUAUAUAUAUAUAUAUAUAUAUAUAUAUAUAUAUUAUAAUUCAUAAAUAAUCUGACAAUUAAAUAAAAAGAUAAACUCAUUUGUGGAAUAUAAUUAAUAAAAAAAAAAGAGAAGUGUUAAGAGUUUUAAAUUAUUAUUAUUUUAUAUUUUUUAUAUUUUAAAUAAAUAUAAUUAAAAUAAUGGAUAAAAAAUGUGCACUUUGUACCUUCAACCUAUAAGAGUUGUAAUAUUUUCAAGUUGGUAUUCUUUAACAUAAGUCAAAUUCUAACUUAUUCAACUUUGACAAUUUUAACCUAAUCCUCAUAUUGGUACAAAUUAGACUAUUCUACCUUAUUUAAGUUUUAGUCCUAAAAAAAUCAUGAGAAUUAUGGACCGAAUGAUGUAUAUUAAAUUUCUAAGAUUCAUAUUUUAAAAUUAAUAAAAUUGAAGUAUUUUCCUUCUGGAGAUUAUUUAUUAUGAUUUAUCUUUACUUUAAUUAAUUAAUUAAUAUAUAUAUAUAUAUAUAUAUAUAUAUUUCAUUGGUAGAAUUGUCCUUAAUGGCCUUUGUACAUAGAGUACAUUCCUGGUCAUAAGAAUACGUGUCAAAUAUAAAUAUGCUUUUCAAAUUUAAUCAUUCUUAUUAUAAGUUUAUUAUUAUUAUUAUUAUUUUAUUAUAUACCUUGUAAAAAUAAAAGUUAUGAUCUUACGUAAGGUCGCAAUUUGAAGUUCAAGUUCAUUAAACUGUGCAGAGUUUAGCUUUCUAUAUAUAUAUAUAAAGAAUCAAUUCCAUCAAUUCAUUAUUUUUUAAGAAUUGAAAAUUACAUAAAUAUUGAUGGUUAUAUUUUACAAAAACAUUGAAACAAAACAAUAAUAUAUUAUUAAAGUUGUUUUACUAAAUAAAAUAAUAUAAUCAUCGUUAUAUAUAUUCUUGUACUUUGUUUAUUAACAAUUUUAUUAUAUUUUCAUUUUAACUUAAGAUAAAGACAAAGGGUUGAAUUGAAAAUUUUAAUUUGCAUAAUUUAAUUAAUUUGAAAAGAAUUUUAAAUUGAGAAUUUGAAAAACAAAUUCCAAAUAAUAAAAAUAAUUUGGAAAUGAAUUUUAAAUUAAGGAUUUAAAAUUUAAAAUUUGCAAAAGGAAAUUUUUUAUAAAUCUUUUCUAAUUUUAAAUAUGAAAUAUUUCCAAAUCUUUUUAAAACUCUUAAGUUUCUAAAUUGUUUUUCAUAAAAUAUAAUCUUUAAAUUAAUUGCAACUAUAUAAAGUUUUCUCCUAUAUAUAUCCUACCUAAAUGUAUAUUUGAUGACGGUCUGACUUGUUUUUCUAUUCUUAAUCUCUAAAGAAAGAAUUCAUUACAAGUACCUACAUCCCCUCAGAAGCUUAGAGGAGUUAGAGCAUUUGGAGGUACUACAUUGUGGAUGUGGAUUAAGGUGUAGGUUCUAGCUAGUGAAUCAUUAAGGUAAAACGGUUAUUAAAUAUGUGUACUUUAAUUUCAAAUAGUGGAUUAUAAAUUAGAGGUUUUAAAUCUUGUGAUUUUUUAUGCCCACAAUUAGCAUUGAUAUUUUCAAAUUAAAAUUUCUUGUGUCCCUUAUUUGAUUAUUUUUAUUAUUUUGAUUAUCCCUAUUAUCUCUUAGUUUAAAUUGAGUUAAUAUUAUUUAACUCUUAUAUUAUUUUCUUUAAAAAUCACCCCACUCUCAAUGUCAUCCUCUUGGACAAAAGCGUGUAUAUAUAUAUAUAUAAUUCACAAAUCUUGAAAAUAUAUUUAAUAUUAAAAUAUCAUUCCAUGUAAUUUGGAAGUAUUCAAAGAUGUAAAAGAUAUGAUAAUAUAUGUAUAAUUAUUUUUUAUUUAAAAAUAUUAAUAAUUACAUUUGCAACUUUAUUUUGUCCUCAUUAUUUAAUUAAUAUACAAAAAGAUAUGGGAAUAGAAUUAUCAAAAGAAUUGUCAUAAUAAAGCUUUAUAUUCUUCAUAAUAAGUUAAAUUAAGGUGAUAUUUAUUUAUUUUACUUAAAUCUAAAUAAAAAUUAAUUUAACUUAAUUGUAAAUAUAACUUAAUAGAAUUAAUUAUUAUAUUUUUUUGUUUUUUAUAAUUUUAUUUUUGUUAAGCGUUAAAUAUUAAUUGGGUGAGAGUCCUACUAAGGUUGUGCUUUGACUUAUUCAAAAAAUUAUUUUUAGUAAUGAGCAAAAAGUUAAAUAUUUUACUUUUAUCUAUUCAUUAAAAAAAUCUUAAAAAUUAAUUUUUUUUUUGUUUUAUUUAAAAUAGUGAAUGGAGUUUGAGUCGAAUUUUAAUUAUUUGGUAAAAUAAUAAAAUUAGUUUUUUAUUUAAAAGAAAAAAUAAAGGUAAGUCAAAGAUAUAAAGAUAAUUAUUUUAUUUUAAAUAAGAAAGAUUCAAAUAAAUAAAAAAAGAAAAAGUUAAUGAGCUACAAAUUUUAGGAUUAAUUGAUUAAAAUGGGUGAAAAUAUCUCAAAUUUGUAAAACUAAUCUCUUCCAUUUUUUAACUUAAAGAGUAACACUUGUUUGACAUAAAUACCCUUCAACAUUUUCAUUAUUUACAUAUGUAUUUUAAAAGAAAAUGUAAUUUUUGUAAGAAAAAAGUGAGAGUAUUCUUAUGUAUUUUUUGGAUGAAAAAAAAUGGUUUGCAAUUUGAUAUUUCUUUUGUCCUUUUUAAUCGGUUAUCCCCAAAUUUUUUUUACGGAAAAUACAAAUUCUAAAAAUAUUUGGUUUUAUUGCUAUUUUUAAAUUUAAAUAUAUUUUUACCUUAAUUAUAUUUUUAUUUCAAAAUAAUUGAUGAUGAUUUAGUUGAAUUCUAACAUUUAAUGGAGUUUUAGUUGAAUUCUAACACUAUAAUAUAAAGUGACCCGAUAAAAUUAUAAAAUCAAUUUUAUUUAAAAAUAAAUAAAGUUGAGUUAAAAAUAGUAUUAAAUAAAUUAAAUUUUAAAAAUAAAAUUUAAUAGUUUUACCUUAAAUAAAAAAUAUUAAAAGAAAAAAUAAUUAGAUAGAUAGGCUUUAAAUUUUAUUAAGAGAAACAUAAAUUUUUUUUUUUAAAAUUGUUUUUAUUUAUUUUCAAUUUUAAAAUUUUAUUUCUAUUUUUUAUUUAAAUGUAUUUUCAAAUUUUAUCUAAAAAUAGUUAAUAGAGUUUUGGUUGAAUUUUAAGACUAUAAGAUAAGCGAAUAGUUGAAAUUAUAAAAUGAAAUUUUUUAUUAAAAUGAAAAGAAAGUUAAGUUAAAGAUACUAUAAAUUAUGAUUAGAAGAAUGAAAAUCAAUAUAAAAAAAAAAAUGGUUUUAUCUUAAAUUAGAAAUAUUUAAAAAAAAAAAGAAUAAUGUAUUGAAAAAUAUAACUUUGUGGUAGAAGAGCAAUGACUAUGCUCUUUUGAAUACCCUAGUUUAUGUUCAUUUUUUAAAAUUUAAAAAGAAUAAACAUCUUUUAGAUAUUAACAAAAAUAAAUUUAAAUAGAUUCUUUAACAUAAAACCUAAAAAACAUUUGUUGUUGGCCAAAAAAUCCAACUAUGAGCCCUUUUAUGACAAGUGAAACUUCCAAAUCUUCUGAAGAGUUUUUUAUCUUAGUAUUAAAAUCUAAAAGCAGAAUAUUUAUACUAUGAGUUGUCUUUUUAACAACUAAUUUAUUUUAUUAAAUGUAAUAAUAUACAUUAAUAUGUUGUAAAUGAAAAGUAAUGAAUGACCACAUUGAUGGCCAUUAUGAACUCCAUUUACUCAUCUUUAAGAUGAGUAAUGGGAGUUCAUAUUAUGAAGCCUAUAAAAGGCUUCUUACCCCCCCAUGUAAAAGGAUCCCGAGAAAAGAAAGAAAGUUCUUCCUCUCAUUCUCUCUCUCUCUCUUUCUUUCACUUUCUCGAUUCUCUUAUUUGAUUCCUUCUUCCAUAUUAUAUAUCAAAGUAAGAUAUAUUUUAUCUCUACUACUUUGAUUUGCAUUAUAUUUGUCCUUGUUUUACAACACGUUAUCAGCACGAAUUGCUCUGAAGGUAAUUCUCGUAUCUUAAACUUGAAGUUAUUUAUAUAAAAUAAAAUUUUACAUAUUUAUAUUAUUGUUGAUUUGUUUUGUUACAUAUUGUUAAAAGUUAUAAACAAAUUAUUUGAUUUUGUUUAUAAUCAAAGUUAUACCAAUGCUAUCAAGUUAUUAUAACUGAUUUUAAUAAUAUUGUUUUGUCAUAUAUAUGAAGUUAUUUGACAAUGUCGAAUAUUACAAAACUCGAAUUUGUGGCACUUGACAUUUCGGGAAAGAACUAUCUAUCUUGGAUCCUUGAUGCUGAAUUACAUCUUGAUGCAAUGAACCUUGGAGCUACGAUCAAACAAGGAAAUCAAGCAUCCCUGCAGGAUCGCGCAAAAGCAUUGAUUUUCCUUCAUCAUCACCUCCAUGAAGGUUUAAAAAAUGAGUAUCUUACGGUAAAGGACCCUUUUACUCUAUGGAGUAAUUUGAAAGAAAGAUAUGACCACUAGAAAACUGUGAUUCUCCCAAAAGCUCGAUAUGAUUGGAUGCACCUAAGGUUGCAAGAUUUUAAAACUGUUAGUGAAUACAACUCUGCACUUUUCAAAAUCAGCUCUCAAUUAAAGCUGUGUGGAGAAAAAAUCACAGAGGAAGACAUGUUAGAGAAAACUUUUACUACGUUUCAUGCCUCGAAUGUGCUCCUGCAGCAGUAAUAUCGAGAGCGUAGAUUUACAAAAUAUUCUGAAUUAAUAUCAUGUCUUCUUGUUGCUGAACAAAAUAAUGAGCUUUUGAUGAGAAAUCACCAGUCUCGUCCAACUGGAUCUGAACCAUUCCCUGAAGUGAAUGCAAUAUCGUCCCAAACUCGUGGACGUGGACGAGGACGAGGACGUGGUCGUGGUCAUGGAAGAAAUCCUCGAUACCAUGGUUCUUAUAGUAAUAAUUCUCAUAAAAUGAAAGCCUCAUUGCACCACCAGAAGUGGAACAAUACUGAGACAAUACAAGAAAAUGGGAAGCGUUUACAAGAUAAACCUCCUAAGAACCAUGAGAAUAAUUGUUAUAUAUGUGGUAUGAAGGGGCAUUGGUCGCGUACCUGUCGUACGCCCAAACAUUUGGUCGACCUUUACCAAGCAUCAAUAAAAGCUAAAGGAAAAGAGAUAGAGAUGAACUUUACCGAUGGUGAUGGAUUGGACCUAACCUACUAUGACAUUGAUUUCUUUGGAGGUCCCAAUGAAAAACCAGACCAUUUGAUAAAUGAUGAAAAAAUUAACAUUGAUUGAUGUUACUCUAUAUAUACAAUAAUAUAUUAUUAUGUCUUAUAUUUACAUCUGAUUUACUUUGUUAUUUACAUUAUGCCUUUUUUUUUGUUAUAUCUGAAAUCCAUGUGUUAUUUGGUCUCAAGAUGAAUGAGGAUGAUGUAUGUCUCGCAGACUGUGCGACCACGCACACAAUUCUUCAAGAUAAAAGAUAUUUCCUUGAAUUGACAUUAAUAAAAGCUAAUGUAAGUACCAUAUCUGGUACUACAAACUUAGUUGAAGGCUCUGGAAGAGCAAACAUAACAUUGCCAAAUGGAACUAGAUUCCAUAUAAAUGACGCGUUAUAUUCUAGCAAAUCCAGAAGAAAUUUGCUCAGUUUUAAAGAUAUCCGCAGAAAUGGAUAUCAUAUUGAAACUAUGAAUGAAGAUAAUGUAGAAUAUCUUUACAUUACUUCCAUUAUAUCUGGCCAGAAGCUUAUAAUGGAAAAAUUGCCGGCUUUUUCCUCUGGGUUGUAUCAUACAACUAUAAAGCCUAUUGAAUCAUAUGUUGUCGUGAACCAGAAGUUCAACGACCCAAAAGUUUUUGUCCUUUGNNNNNNNNNNNNNNNNNNNNNNNUGGUCACAUGUUUGUCUCCUUUCUACACGUAACGUAGCCUUUGCUAGACUCCUUGCACAAAUAAUCAGAUUACGAGCACAAUUUCCAGAUUAUCCAAUUAAGACAAUACGUCUUGAUAAUGCUGGCGAAUUUACUUCUCAAACAUUCAUUAACUAUUGCAUGUCAGUAGGGAUAAAUAUUGAGCAUCCUGUUGCUCAUACUCAUACCCAGAAUGGUUUAGCAGAAUCCUUCAUCAAACGUCUCCAAUUAAUAGCUCGACCAUUACUAAUGAAAACCAAAUUACCUACUUCCGCCUAGGGACAUGCUAUUAUGCAUGCUGCAGCUUUAGUCCGUAUUCGACCUUCAACUUACCAUGAAUACUCCCCUUCACAACUUGUGCUUGGAAAACAACCAAAUAUCUCUCACUUACGAAUCUUUGGUUGUGCAGUAUAUGUACCAAUUGCACCUACACAACGCACUAAAAUGGGUCCCCAACGAAGACUUGGGGUUUAUGUAGGUUUUGAUUCUCCAUCUAUCAUAAGAUAUCUUGAACCUUUGACUGGAGAUGUUUUUACAGCCCGCUUUGCAGAUUGUCAUUUUAAUGAGAGUGUUUUCCCAUCAUUAGGGAGAGAAAAGUCGAUUCUUGAAGAACGACGAGAAAUUAGUUGGAAGACAUCUACUAUGACCCAUCUUGAUUCUCGUACAAAUCAAUGUGAACUAGAAGUUCAAAGGAUCAUUCAUUUGCAAAAUCUUGCAAAUCAAUUACCAGAUGCAUUCAUUGAUACAAAGAAAGUGACAAAGUCACAUAUCCCGGCUGCAAAUACUCCAGCACAGAUUGAUGUCCCUGUAGGACAGUUAACAAAUGAAUCUAAGAUACGCCUGAAGCGUGGUAGACCUGUCGGCUCAAAGGAUGUAACUCCCCGGAAGAGGAGAACCCAAGAAAAACUUGGCACUCUAGAAGAUGCCAUCAAAAUGACUGAUCAGUUUAAAAUUGAUAAAUCUAUAGCCCUAGAAGAGGCACAAAUAAUGCAGAAAGCCCCUGAAGAGGUAAAUAUUGAACAAGAAGCCCCCGAAGAGGCACAUAUUGAACAAGAAACCCCUGAAGAUCCACAUAUUGAACGAGAAGCCCCUGAAGAGGCACAGGUACCUGAAAAUUGUGAGAUCUCAGUAAGUUAUGUACAAACGGGAGAAAAAUGGGAUUGAAAUAAUAUUGUUAUUAACAAUAUUUUUGCUUUCCAAGUGACCUUUGAUAUCAUAAGAAAUGAUGAAGAUCCCGAACCACGAAAUGUGGAAGAAUGUCGACAUAGAAAUGAUUGGCCAAAAUGGAAAGAAGCUAUACAGGCAGAAUUAAACUCAUUAACAAAACGAGAAGUUUUUGGACCUGUAGUCCAAACACCUGAAGAUGUAAAGCCUGUUGGGUACAAAUGGGUAUUUGUACGAAAGCGCAAUGAGAAUAAUGAGAUCAUAAGAUAUAAAGCGCGAUUAGUGGCACAAGGUUUCUCGCAGAGACCUGGUAUUGACUACGAGGAAACAUAUUCUCCCGUCAUGGACGUAAUCACAUUUCGUUUCUUAAUUAGUUUGGCAGUCUCAAAAGGACUGGAUAUGCGUCUCAUGGAUGUUAUUACAUCAUAUUUAUACGGAUCCAUGGAUAAUGAUAUAUACAUGAAAAUCCCCAAAGGAUUUAAAUUGCCUGAUGCAAAUAAUACAAAGCCUCGUAGCAUGUACUCAAUCAAGUUACAACGAUCCUUGUAUGGAUUAAAGCAAUCUGGACGCAUGUGGUACAAUCGCCUUAGUGAAUACUUGCUAAAAGAAGGGUAUGUGAAUAACCCUAUAUGCCCAUGCAUCUUCAUUAAGAAAUCAGAAACCGGAUUUGCAAUUAUUGCAGUGUAUGUGGAUAACUUAAAUCUUGUUGGAACUCCUGAAGAGCUCACAAGAACAACAAAUUACUUGAAAAAGGAAUUUGAGAUGAAAGAUCUUGGAAAAACAAAAUUUUGUCUCGGCCUGCAGAUCGAGCAUUUUCCAAAUGGAAUUUUAGUACAUCAAUCAACAUACAUUAAGAAAGUUUUGAAGCGUUUUUAUAUGGAUAAAGCGCAUCCUUUAAGUUCUCCAAUGGUUGUCUGAUCACUUGAUGUGAAAAAAGACCCAUUUCGUCCUUGCGAAAAGGAUGAAGAGUUGCUUGGUCCUGAAGUACCAUAUCUUAGUGCUAUUGGUGCACUUAUGUAUCUUGCCAAUUGUACACGUCCAGACAUUGCUUUUUCUGUCAAUUUAUUAGCAAGAUACAGUUCCGCUCCAACUCGAAGACAUUGGAAUGGUAUCAAACAUAUAUUACGUUAUCUUCGCGGAACUACUGAUAUGGGUUUAUUUUACUCAAGGGAAUCAAAGCAACAAUUGCUUGGAUAUGCAGAUGCAGGAUAUCUUUCAGAUCCACAUAAAGGCAGGUCACAAACAGGGUAUGUGUUUAAUUGUAAUGGUACUGCUAUUUCAUGGAGAUCUGUCAAACAAACAAUGGUAGCCACAUCAUCAAAUCAUUCAGAAAUACUGGCAAUUCAUGAAGCAAGUCGUGAAUGUAUAUGGCUAAGAUCUAUGAUCCAACAUAUUCGGGAAUCAUGUGGACUCUCCUCUAUCAAAGGUGACCCGACAACAUUAUUUGAAGAUAAUGUUGCAUGCAUUGCACAAAUAACAGGGGGUUAUAUUAAAGGAGAUAGAACAAAACACAUUUCACCAAAAUUCUUUUAUACACAUGAACUCCAGAAGAGUGGUGAAAUUGAUGUGCAACAAAUACGCUCAAGUGAUAAUCUAGCAGAUUUAUUCACAAAAUCAUUGCCAACUUCAACAUUCAAGAAGUUAAUACACAGGAUUGGAAUGCGUCAACUCAAGGAUAUCGACAUGAGGGGGAGUAUGCUUGUAAAAGGGUGUUAGUGUACUAUACUCUUUUUUUCCUUCGUCCAGGUUUUGUCCUACUGAGUUUUACUGGCAAGGUUUUUAACGAGGCAGUCCUAAUAUGCCAAGAAAAGAAUAUUGUACUCUUUUUCCUUCGCUAGGUUUUUCCUAUAGGGUUUUUUACUAGCAAGGUUUUAAUGAGGCAUAUUCUUUUAAUAUGGUGGUCAUCCAAGGGGGAGUGUUGUAAAUGAAAAGUAAUGAAUGACCACAUUGAUGGCCAUUAUGAACUCCAUUUACUCAUCUUUAAGAUGAGUAAUGGGAGUUCAUAUUAUGAAGCCUAUAAAAGGCUUCUUACCCCCCAUGUAAAAGGAUCCCGAGAAAAGAAAGAAAACUCUUCCUCUCAUUCUCUCUCUCUCUCUUUCUUUCACUUUCUCAAUUCUCUUAUUUGAUUCCUUCUUCCAUAUUAUAUAUCAAAGUAAGAUAUAUUUUAUCUCUACUACUUUGAUUUGCAUUAUAUUUGUCCUUGUUUUACAACAAUAAAUUAUAGUUGAGUUUUUUUUUAAAAAAAAAUUGGCAUAUGCUUGUAUUACUUUGUUAGCUUGGAGGACGAAAAGCCUAUACAAAUAAUGAGUUGAAUGAAAUAAGAAGCGAGUAAAUUACAUGUAUCAAUGAAAUUGUAAUUUUUAGAUUACAGAAAUGAGUACAUGCAUUAAUAUAUAUGAAAAUAUAUAGUGAUUAUGAGAUUUGAGAAUCUAUUUAUUUUGAAUGAUGGGAAUUAAACUUCGUAAAAUUUCAAUGUAGAUCGGAAGUAAAUUUUUUUGUUACUUGAAAUAUUCACAACUUCUUUCCUGUAGUGAUGUUAUUUUGUAAUAGAACUUCCCUGGACAAUCGUUUUCAUGACUGGGAAUUGAAUUAGAGAAAAUUUUGUAGAAGAUUUUUUCAAAUUUGGAAAAAUCGCAUGUAGAAGAGUUGAAUUGGCAAGGAAAUCUACACACUCGUUGAACAGUCUAGGCCCACUUUUCCAAUCAGCCUAGCACGUUUUUUUGAAUUGAAUAACCACGGAUUGAUAUUGAUUGGAUCCAUUAUCAGUCAUUCAAUCCUAAAGCAUUCAUUUGUCAAACUCCAAGGAAUAUAGGUUUGGCCGAGUGAACAUUUCAAUACUAAACUUGUCCAAAUACAUUAAUUUGAUAUUUUUAGUAAAUAUGAUGCGCAAAAUGAAACCUACUUGGUCGAUAAUGACCUAGUGGUUAGGGCAAUCCCUCAAAAUUCAUAAAAAAAGAAGAUGCAAAUAGAAUCAAAUAGUAGUUCUUAUGUUAUUUUUUCAAAAAAUAGUUAUCGAGUCUGGAAAUGGGUAUUUUUCAUUUACGAAGCUUAAUCCUAUGGGAUUUAAUUUUCAUCGACUAGGAGAAUAAUUUGAUCCUAGCCACACCUAAUGUUAACGACUUGUUUAGGUAUUUUGAGUGAAGAGGACAACGGUUCCACACCGUGGGCCCCAAAACUGAACCAAAUCCCUCAUACUAUUCAACUACAUACUACCACUGCAUGCCAAGCCGUCUCUCUCAUACUUACCAAUUCUUUCUCUAGUCCAGAUUCUUAAACCCCAACAUUUGGGGUGACCAAUUUAUUACCUACACUCCCGAAGAAAGUUAAUUCAAUGAAAUUAUGUUUAUAUACUUAUUUGGAAGUUAUUUUUCUUAGGAUGAUAAAAUUUGCUGGUCUAGGUUACAAGUGCCUACAAAGAGGAGCAGAUUGAGGAUCUGAAAAAUGAAUUGAAAAUGGAAUUAUACAUGGUGUUGACUAUAAGAAUUUCAGUGGAUUCAAAAAGCCCCAAUUUAUACCUUAGCCGCCCCUAAUAGUUUCGGCUCUUGCUUCAUAAAUUUAGCCAAGGGACUCAUGAAAAAACUUUUUCUUUCACGUCAUCAAUCCCUUUCAUACACUACUUUCAACGUUUUUAUUUUACAUUAUCUUCAACAAUAGAACAUUUAGAAUAUCCUCUUGCGGAACAAGUUGCUCAUGCACUAAAGCAGCCCAUUAGAAAAGGUUUAGAGAGGCUAGAGGCAAGGUGGUAUAUGUCUAUCUACCAGGAUGAAACUUCGCAUGACACAACUUUACUAAAGCUGGCCAAGUUAGAUUUCAAUCUAGUGCAGUCCCUACACAAGGAGGAGCUAAGCAAUAUUGCUAGGUUUGCUUUCAAAUCACUAGCAGAUAUACCUAGUCACCUUCUCAUUUUACCAUGAGCUAAUUGUUUUAAUGAAUUUUAGGUGGUGGAAAGAAUUAGACUUUGCUACAAAGCUACCUUUUGCGAGAGAUAGAUUGGUGGAAGGCUACUUUUGGAUACUUGGGGUGUACUUUGAGCCUCAAUAUGUCCGGGCUAGACGAAUUCUAACCAAAACAAUUUCCAUGACAUCCAUUAUAGAUGAUAUAUAUGACGCAUAUGGCACAUUUGAAGAACUCGAGCUCUUCACCGAGGCCAUUGAGAGGUUUGAUUGAUGCAAAUUACCAACCUUCAUCAUUUAUACUGUAUGUGAUACUUAAAUCAAGCCUGGUUUUAUUUUCAGGUGGGAUAUUAAUAGCAUAGAUCACCUUCCAGAAUACAUGAAACACUGCUAUGUGGCACUCUUAGAUGUGUACAAAGAAAUUGAGGAAGAGAUGGAGAAAAAAGGAAACCAAUAUCGGGUUCAAUAUGCGAUAGAAGCGGUAGGACAUUCUGCAUCGACUUUGUUUUGUAUAGUAACAUAUCGUAAGGAUAUAGAUGUAACCUGAUUGAAUGUUUGACAGAUGAAAAACCUAGUUAGAGCUUAAUUUCAUGAGGCUAAAUGGUUCCAUGAAGGACGCAUACCAACAAUGGAAGAGUAUAUGAUAAUAAUAGGUUUAUCUUAGGGAAUCAAUAAUUAUUUUUGUAUGUUAUAAAGAUUACAUUUAUACUUGAAUUAUUUUUAAUUUAUUAUAUCAUAUAAAUUUUUUAUCUUAUAAUAUUGUAAAUUUUAAUUAUAUUAGGAAAUCAAUGAAUGCUUUUAUAACUAUUUAAAUGAUGUUAGUUAUGAGAUAAUUUUAUUUUAUUAUUGUUUUUUUACCUUAUUUACUUGUACCUAUUUUUUAAUAAUUUACAUAAUAUUUUUAUAAUUUUUAAAAUUUUCUAAUUAUCAUAUUUUUUUGUAUAUGACACUUAAAUCAAGCCUGGUUUUAUUUUCUGGUGGGAUGUUAACAGCAUAGAUCACCUUCCAGAAUACAUGAAACACUGCUAUGUGGCACUCUUAGAUGUGUACAAAGAAAUUGAGGAAGAGAUGGAGAAAGAAGGAAACCAAUAUCGGGUUCAAAAUGCGAUAGAAGCAGUAGGACAUUCUGCAUUGACUUUGUUUUGUAUAGUAACAUAUCGUAAGGAGAUAGAUGUAACUUGAUUGAAUGUUUGACAGAUGAAAAACCUAGUUAGAGCUUAUUUUCAUGAGGCUAAAUGGUUCCAUGAAGGAAGCAUACCAACAAUGGAAGAGUAUAUGGGGAUAGCACUGGUAACCUCAGGUUACUACAUGCUUACAACCAUGUCUUUCAUUGGUAUGGGAGAAAUUGUAACAAAGGAGGCCUUUGAUUGGGUGAUUAGUGACCCUAAGAUUAUCACAGCAUCAGCUGUAAUUUGCAGGCUCACGGAUGACAUCAGUUCAUAUAAGGUAUUGUGAAUAUAGUAUUUCUUGUUAAGCUAUAAUUUGACCUUGACCUUAAAGCUCAAUCAAUUAAACAUAUUUAUUGUACUCAUUUGUGCGAUUCUUUUUCUUGGUAUCCAUGAUUAAUUAACAAAGGUAUUGUUUUUUUUUUUUUGGAAAAAAAAAAAGAGAAGUUCAAAUUUAUUUUUUUCCUCUCUCUCUCUCUCUCUCCCUCCACACGCUCAUUAAUUUUAAUGUUAAGAUAUCAGCCCAAUUGACUUGAUUUAUAUUAACUUAAAACUUUUGUUCUAAUAGGUACCUUCAUAUAACGGUAAAGCCUUGAUUUUUAUAGGAGGUCAUGGAGGUGAACUGUGAACCUUACUGAUGUGUACCCAAACCAUACCAUUUAUUUAUAAUAUUGUCAUCAUAAUAUUUAAAUAUGGGACAUUUUAUGCAUUCAUUAUGUAGAUAUCCCUUUGUAAUAUACAUUCGUUGAGUUGGAGGAUGGUAACAUCGAUAUCCCUUUUUGUGUAAUGCAUAUCCAACAAACACACAUUGCAAUGCAUGGGAAGUUAACUUGGUGCGUUGGUGUUUAUGUAGAUGCACAAAUGCCACGCAACCAAAAACACGAGGAGGUAGAUUUGGGACAGUUGGGACAACUACGGCAUUAGUAAGAGUUUGGAGAGGUGUUUGGAAGUUAAUUGAGCUGGAAGGUACCCGAUUGAUCAAGUAUGCGGCAUGACUCGUGCCCAAUUGGUGUCUCAGCUGAUUUGUGUUCAGCUGGUGCUCCUUGAUUGAGGAAGUGAUCAACAAAAUUUAUACCUAUAACACCAUACACUAGGGUAGCAAAUACAAAGCUACUAUAGUAUAGUGGCUCUAAGGAUCGUUCACUGGGAAUGAUGAACAAGCAAUCAAGGAUACCAAUUCCAAGUGAAUUGGUUUUGUUUCAUUUCACGGUUAGCUUAAGGAAUAAAACACAAACUUUGAUUGGUAAAGGUUUAGACUUAAACUAACUAACUUAACAGAAGUUUGGAAUAAUUUAGGAAGAAAAGCAUUCCUUGGAGAAUUAGGUUCACUGGGGUGGUUCCUCAUGCAAAAGACAUAGCUCCGGUCAGAUGGUUCAUUUCCUCGCAUUAGAGAUUCAACUUAGAGUCAAUUCUCUAACCGGUGAUGUACAGAGACUCCUUCAAUUAGAUUUCACUUUAAUUCUCUCACUGAUACAACUUGCAAUGGUUCAUGCCUCUCACGAGCACUUACCAUUCAAGGUGAUCUUUAACCUUGGAUUCCCCUUCACAAACUCGCAAGAGAUAACUAAUGGAUGUCUCCUAGGAGUCCAAAAGCUUACCAAGUGUUGGUAAUUCCAGAAAAUCCUACCUUGAAGUCACCUACCAAAGGCUCGCAAGGGGUAAACUAGUGCAUUUCCACGGUUAGAAAUCACUUGCCUUACCAAGUGUUGGCCCAGGUGACUCCAAAGUGUUUUAAGUUAACUAAAAACAUUGAAAUCACUAAAGGAUUUCACUUCCUCUUCAUUACUAGCUAAAACCACAAAGCUUUGCAUUCUUGCACUUGGAACCUUCCCCGGCAACCUUAGCUCCAAGGAAUUGGAGGUUUAGUUACUCAUUCUCUGGGGAAAACUCCUCAGAGAAUUCAUAACUUAGAAAUAAAAUGAAAAUAUAAAGUGAGAAGGUAAGGCAGUAGAAAGAAAAGACUUUUACUUGCUUACCAAAAAACGAUUACAGAAGGAACUCCUCUCUGAGAACAUGCUCUCGAGAGGUAUUUAUAUUAAAGCAAUAUAAAACUAAUUCUUACACUGAUAUUUGGUCUUUUUACUAACUUAAAAACUAAGGAAUCAUGUAAUUGGUGGUUUACAAGGAGUAUUUUGGAAUUUAGACAACAAAAAUCUAAUGGAAAAUAUCUCCCAAUGUCGGUAGCAAGCUUCGGGAGGCUUCAGGAGCCAUUUCGCAGGAGAAAAGUGGUGCCUGCGAAAUUUCGCAGACACCCAAGAGGGCUGCGAAAUUAUUUCGCAAGACCAAGCUAUCUUCACCAGGCUGCAAAGUUGGCUUCCAUCUUGAAGUUUCCAGCUCCCUUCUCGCGGCAUGGUUCGUGCAUCGUCAGAAGGAGAAACACCUUACUGUACAAAAGCGUUGCGAAAAUCUCGCAACAAAAGGCUGAUUCCGCAGCACUUUAGAGUGACUGGCUUGUAAUGGCUGCAACUUCUUCGUUUCAACUCCAAAUCGCGCACCGUUUGAAGCAUUGGAUUGUUGACUUCCUGAGCUUUGAAAUGGUAUAUAGCUUGCAUCAUUUGGACUUCAGAAAGUGCUCCAAAAGUGGCUGCUACGACUGUCAUCAAGAAUAGGCUUCAUGACUGAUCCUCUUUGCUUUUUCUCCUUGCAAUCCGGAUUCACUCUUGGCAAUUGAAUUCUAAGCUUUUCCCAUGAUUCCUCAUAGCUCUCCUCAUUCUUGACUUGCUUUGGUGAUCAAAAUACUAACAAAAACACCAAAACUUGCACAAAGUGAUCAAAAUUGCUUUAAAGGAUCCUUAACAUGCCAAUUGAGUUAAAAGGCCUAAACUACUACUCAAAAGUGUUAAAAAGGAUUAAUUAAAGGCUAUCAAAUAGCACUUUUUGAGUAGUAAUCACGGCAGAUGUGAUUGCUUCUCCCCAAUAAGAUAUCGAUGUUUUUGCUGCUAUCAAGUAAGCACGAACAACCUCUAACAAGUGCCGAUUUUUUCGUUCAGCACAACCCGAGCCUUACUCUUUCAAGGGAAUGUUCCUAAGUCCUAUUGAGGAGAAGUUGUUCUUACUGCCACAUACAUGAUAAAUAGAAUUCCGUCACGAGUUUUAGAAAACAAAAGCCUCAUAGAGAUACUUAAGAGUUUCUAUCCACACUUCAGAACCUCAAAUGGGCUCACUCCUAGGGUAUUUGGGUGCACAACAUUUGUUCAUGUCCACAACCAACAUAGAGACAGCUAGACCCCCGAGUCAUAAAAUUUGUCUUUCUUGGUUACUUCAUCCACUAAAAAGGAAACAAAUGUACAUCCCNNNNNNNNNNNNNNNNNNNNNNNNNNNNNNNNNNNNNNNNNNNNNNNNNNNNNNNNNNNNNNNNNNNNNNNNNNNNNNNNNNNNNNNNNNNNNNNNNNNNUGUUACAAUCCCAUAACAAAAAUUUUUUACAUCUUUGCAGAUGUCACCUUCACAGAAAAUAAACCUUUUUUCCCAAAGUCCUCUUUUUAGGGGGAGAUUUCAAUGAUAGAAGAUAGUCCUGAGUCCUUUGAACCUCUUGACCUUCCUCAUGUCUCAACCCAUGGUGAUGAAAUACCUGAGUCAUCCGAGUCAAUCACACCUGAGUCACCCAAUUUUGCCACUAAACCCGUGUCAUCCCAUGUUCCAAGCAGUGUCACUCGCAAUUUUCCAUAGUUUCCUAAGGUGUAUUCAAGGGAAAAGGCCAUUCCAGAACAAAAGUAUGUCCAAGAAUCCAACUCAGACCCUGGGAAUGAAAUCACGCUAAGAUCAGACCCACCUUUACAUACACAACCUGGUGAAACUUCUACUAACUCAACAGACAACCUAGACCUAGACCUUCCCAUUGCUAUCAGAAGAGGCACCAAAGAAUGCACUAAUUGACCACUCUAUCCACUAUCACACUAUGUGUCUCUUAAGCACCUAUCACUAGCCCACAAAAAUUUCAUUGUGAGUCUAAACACCACUAUCAUCCCUAACACUGUUUCUAAGGCAUUGACAAAAAGGGAAUGAAAUGAUGCUAUGAGAGAGGAGAUGAGUGCAUUAGAAAAGAAUAAAACAUGGGAGAUUGUUGAAAGACCGAAAGGGAAAAACAUUGUUGAUUGCAAGUGGAUUUUCACACUGAAAUAUAAGACUGAUGGAUCUCUUGAGAGACAUAAAGCAAGAUUGGUAGCCAAAUGGUACACUCAAACUUAUGGAGUAGAUUAUCAGGAGACUUUUGCUCCAGUUGCAAAAAUAAAUACUAUGAGAAUCCUAGUCAUUGGCUGCCCACUACAAUUGGAAACUCCUAUAAUAUGAUGUUAAGAAUGCAUUUCUUCAUGAUGAUUUAGAUGAAGAGAUUUACAUGAACAUCCCCCCGGGAUUUGAGGGAAACACUGGUAAUAAGGUGUGCAAACUGAAAAAGGCCCUUUAUGGGCUAAAACAAUCUCUUAGGGCUUGGUUUGAGAGAUUUGCAAAAGUCAUGAAAGAGUCUGGGUACAAACAAAGCCAAGGUGACCACACUCUCUUCAUUAAGCACUCGGUUGCAGGGGGAGUAACUGCUCUUCUAGUCUAUGUUGAUGACAUCAUAGUGACUGGAAAUGAUGAGAGAGAAAAACAUGAAGUGAAGCAGAGAUUAGCAAUAAAGUUUGAGAUAAAGGAACUAGGGAAACUAAAGUACUUCCUUGGUAUUGAGGUGGCAUAUUCCACACAAGGGAUCUUCAUUUCUCAACAAAAGUAUGUGACUGAUUUAUUGGCAGAAACAGGGAAGAUUGGGUGUAAACCAGUCUCUACCCCCAAUGGAUCCAAACCACAAGUUGGGAAAAGCUAAAGAAAAACUAGUGUUGGAUAAAAGAAUGUACCAGAGGCUGGUUGGUAGGCUCAUAUACCUUGUUCACACUCGGCCAGACAUCGCCUACUCGGUGAGCAUGAUCAGUCAAUUCAUGCAUGAUACAAGAGAACCUCAUCUUCAAGCUGCUUAUAGGGUGCUACAUUACUUGAAAGGCAACCCCGGGAAAGGAAUUUUGUUCAGGAAGAACAAUACUCUUGCUCUAGAGCAUACACUAACACUGACUAUGCAAGUUCCUUAGUGGAUCGAAGAUCAACUACAGGGUAUUGUACUUUUCUUGGAGGUAAUCUGGUAACAUGGAGAAGUAAAAAGUAGAAUUUGGUAGCAAGAUCGUCUGUAGAAUCAAAGUUUAGGGUCAUUGCUCAAGGGUUGUGUGAACUACUUUGGCUGAAGAUUAUUCUAGAUGAUUUGAGAAUCAAGUGGGAUGGUCCUAUGAAACUCUAUUGUGAUAAUAAGUCAACUAUCAAUAUUGCUCAUAACCCUAUACUACACGAUAGGACAAAACAUAAUAAGAUCGAUAGGCAUUUCAUCAAAGAAAAAUUGGAGAAAGGAGUAGUGUGUAUGUCCUAUGUUGCAUCAGAACAUCAAUUAGUUGAUAUCCUAACAAAAGGGCUGAACAGUUCAAUGUUUCACAGUCUUGUAUUCAAGCUGGGAAUGGAAAACAUCUAUUCCUCAGCUUGAGGAGGAGUGUUGAGCUAUAAAUAGAUAGUAGAAUUAUUUUCCUAUUAUGUUAGUUUCCUAUUUAUGUAAAUAGAUAGUUUUAUUAGUUUCCUAAUUCUGUAAAUAGAUAGUUUUAUUACUUUCCUAUUUCUAUAAAUAGAUAGUUUUAUGAUUUAGGAAUAAAUUAGUUUUCUAUUAUGUCUCUUGUUUCCUAUUUCUUCUCUUGUAAUCUCCUAUAUAAACUGUGUAUGGUCAAUAUAAGAAACAAAAAUUAUUAUUUUCCAUCCCAUAUUUCGUAUCAAGAUGCAUGCCAUAAAAAUGGUAAGAUGAACAACAACAAGCCAAGCAACAAAAAAAAAAAAAAUGGAGUUUUUCCACCUUGUCCUCAUUGCAAGAAGACAAAUCAUUCUCCACAAAAAUGUUGGUGGAGACCAGAUGUGAAAUGCAACAAGUGUGGUAAACAAGGACAUGUGGAAAGGAUUUGCAAAAAUCAACAACAAAAAGAAACUAGUGCAGCAGUUGACUAUUGUCAGGAGGAGCAAUUAUUUGCAGCAACGUGUUUUGCUAAUAAAAGCACCUCUGAAAGCUAGCUUGUGGAUAGUAGUUGUACAAACCACAUGACAAAUAAUCAAGAUCUCUUUAGAGAACUUGAUAGAACAGCUAUUUCCUAAGUCAGAAUUGGAAAUGGUGAGUAUAUUCCAAUGAAGGGCAAAUGAACGGUUGCUAUCGAAAGCCAAAUAGGUUUGAAACUCAUUUAUGAUGUUUUGUUUGUGCCUGACGUUGACCAAAACUUACUCAGUGUUGGACAGCUCGUUGAGAAAUGAUUUAAAGUUUAUUUUGAAGAUAGGAAUUGCAUUAUCAAGGAAGCUGAAGGCAAAGAGGUGUUUAACAUAAAAAUGAAGGGCAAGAGUUUUGCCUUGAAUUUACUAGAAGAUGAGCAUGCUGUUGUUUUACAAUAAGAUAGAACAACAAUGCUUUGGCAUAGAAGGUUUGGGCACUUUCAUCAUGAUGUUGUGCUCUACAUGAAGAAAAAUCAAAUAGCUGAAAGACUUCCCGACUUAGAAAAAGAUCUUCCUAUAACUGCUACUUGUUAAUAUGGGAAGCAAACUAAACUUUCCUUUCCAAAGAAAACAUCCUAGAGAGCAACCCAAAAAUUGCAACUAGUGCAUACUGAUAUUGGUGGACCUCAAAAGACGUCAUCCUUGAAAGAGAAUGUAGGCAUUGUUCACCAACUCACUGCACCAUAUAAUCCACAACAAAAUAGAGUCGUGGAGAGGAAAAAUAGAACGAUUUUGGAGAUGACAAAAUGCCUUCUACAUGAAAAAGAUCUACCUAAAGUUUUUUGGGCUGAAGCUACAAGUACAGUAGUAUAUUUGCUGAACAAAUUGCCAACAAAAACGUUAAAGAAGCAGACCCCUUUCGAAGUUUGGUUUGAGUUUCUACGUGGAAGACUUGGAGUUUGCAUCUACUAAGUCAAGAAGGAGUGUUGAAUUUUGACCUAGUAUCUGCUAGAAUUUGAAUUUUGAAGUUAAAUAUUGCAGCUGGAGUCUUGCACAAAAUCUAUAACAUCCAAAUAUUUUUCUUGUUGUUAUUUGGUCAAGAUUUGGUUUCUAUUUUAUAGGAAGUAGUUGUUCAUCAUCUAGUAGCUUGAUUUUCUGCUAUUCUAAUGUCAUUUCAGUUACAAGCUCAUGUAUAAAUUCAACACUCUUCAUCAAUAAAAUGUGUGUUUCAGCAACCCAAAAUAUAUAUUCUGCAUAAGUGUUUAAAUCUUAGACCAACACAUCCUCGUCACUAGUAGUUGUGCCUCUCAGGUUACCUUUUUUAUCUCUCAGCUCAGCUCCACCUUUGCUCUUCGUGACCUUGGUUCCCUUUACUAUUUCUUUGGCAUUGGGGUUACUCAUAGUACUGAUUCUCUUCAUCUCUGCCAACAAAAAUAUGUGCAUGACUUGCUCACUCGUACUGCCAUAACUGAUGCUAAACUUGUUCUUACAUUGGGUUCCUUGGCCAAACCUCUCUCUCUCAUUGAUGGUGAUCUACUUAUAUCGCAACAUUGUUGGCGCAUUACAGUAUGUUACUGUUACAUGUCCAAACCUUUCUUUUGCCGUUAACAAGGUAUGCCAGUUUAUGGCUUCCCAACGACUACCCACUAACUAGAUGUCAAGAAUAUAAAAAGUAGUUAAAAAUAAAAUAAAAAUAUAGAUUUAAAAUAAAAAAUAAAAUAAAUAUGAAUAAUUAAAAAUUUUAAAAAUGAUAAAUAUUUUUUUUUAAAAAAAGUUUUCAAAAAAAUCUCAGAUAUUUUCAGAUAUAUCGGCAAUGUAUCCAAUAUAUCCGAUAUAUCGUCGAUAUAUCUCCAAUAUUUUGAUAGACUUCCUCUAUUGCUUCGCGCGUCGCUUCACACUCGAUUUUUUCGCUGAUUUAUCGAUUUCAAAUUAACCGAAAUGUCAACAUAUUUCGGGGAUUUUUUUGAUAUUCCUCUCGUUCGAUAAUGUUGCUUAAUAUCCUUUCAGGGUUGUCCGAUAUCCGAUAUAUUGGUGAAAUAUCAUCGAUAAAAACCGAUUUUUCAAUCCAUGCUUAAUAGUGGGUUUCCCUUUUGUUUGGCCUCUUGUAGACCCCCAUUUUGGGGCUCGGUUUUUUUUAUCUCUAUUUUCUUUGUAGGUGUCACCAUCCCAGAGAGCCAUGUGUCGCCUCUUUGGUGGUUGAUAGGGAAUCAACAUUGCUUUUCGGGGACUUAUGGUAGGUUGACACGUGGAAGAAUAUUCUGGAGAGCUGAUUUCCAUUAUGGGGGAGCAUAUGAGAGAGGAUAUUCUACAGGCAUUUUGAUUCUCACAUGUGCAUGAUCACCUUGAGUAUUCAUUGAUUUUGGCAUCAAUUGUCACAUAAACUUCAUUUUAUUAGUAGAGACCCGACUUUAAGGACUUAGAGGGGUGCUACGGUCUUUACCGUACCUUCCCGAUAAAUAAUUUGACCCCCGAACUCGAUCCGGUUUUUCACGGACCACCUUUUCCAAAUAAGGAGUCACACUUAGGAUUUUCUUUCUUAUUUUAUUUACCCUUUAAAAAUAAAACAAAAUUAAGUGGCGACUCCAAGUCAUUUUUUUUAAUCAGUAAAAUCAUUUUCAAAAUAAAAAUCGAGCUCACUAUCGAGUGAAAAACGCAUUAGCCGAAAUACGGGGUCCACACCUCUAUUUAUUUAAAAAAAAAAAAAAAAAUCCUUUCCCAUUCUAUGGCCUUGAGUGAGCAUUAUGUAUUUCAACUAUUUUGACAUGUUCAAAAUAAAUUACUAAGAAUUUAAAGGGAAUUUGUUCGACAAGUACUUUUUUUUUAACAUAUUUAUUUAUACAUUAUUUAGUUUAGGUUGCAUUAUUCUAUGUAAAUAAUUUAUUGGGUAUGGGAAUUACUUUUAUAAAUGGCUGAGUAGAUUCAAUUUUAGAUAUUUAUUUAUUGAGCAUGAAAAUUAUUUAUUAAAACAUGGUUUAACGACCAUGCGAUGGAAUCAACCUGUUAAAAAAAAUAAACUAAUACUAUAUUAUUUUAACUUAAAUUAUUUCUUGAUUGUAGCAAUGUUGAAAAAACAAAUAUCAAUAAAAGACUAACCUUAACGGGAAAAUAGUAAUUAACAUAAUUUUAUAUUGACUUGUAAAAUUGGGUCAACAUAUAAAUAUAUUAAUUGUAACAAGAAGACCUACAUUGAUAAUGAAACGUCAAUAUUAGUCUAUAUUGCCAACUUUGAAAUAUUAAUAUAUGUAUAUAGCAGAUGUUUUCAUGAUUAGGAAUUAGAGAAAAUUUUGUAGAAGAUUUUUCCAAAUUUGAAAAUAACUAUGGAAGAAAUUCAACUUAAACACGUUUCUUUGUGGAAGAGUUGCAUUGGCAAGGAAAGCUACACACAUUCAUUGAACAGUCUUAGGCCCAUUUUUCCAAGCAGCCUAGCAAGUUGUCUGAAUUAAACCCCUAUGGAUUGAAAUUGAUUGGAUCCAUUACCCGUCAUGCAUUCAAUCCCAAAGCGUUGAUUAUUCAAACUCUAUGAAAUAUAGGUUUCGCUGAGUAGAGGAGUUCAAAUACAUUAAAUCGAUAUUUUAAGUAAAUAUAAUGUGGAAAAUGAAACCUACUAGAUCGAUAAUGACCACAUUACAAACCGAUCUCCAGGCUAGUUAGGGCAAUCCCCUCAAAAUUCAAAAAAUAAUUAAGUAAAUAAAAUGUAAUUAUUAAUAUUUUUAAAAAGUAGUUAUGGACUCGAAAUGGGUAUUUUUUAUAUAUGAAGUUUAAUCAAGUAGUAGUUCUUAUCCUAGCCACACCUAAUAUUAACAACUUGUUAGGAUAUUCUGAUUGAAUUUAGCCAAAGAGACUCUAGAAGGCCAAUAUUUUUCUUAUCAUCACUCUCUUCCGAGCACAACUCUUCCACACCAUGGGCCCCAAAACUAAACCAAAUUCCACAUACUUUUUAACUACAUACAGCCACUGCAUUCCAGGCUGUCUCUCAUACUCACCAAUUCAUCACUGAAGGUAUAGGACUGUUCUAUCAUUGUUCCAAGUAAUUGGCAUCUCUACUCAAGUCUCAGCAUGUUCCCUAGCCCAAAUUUCUAAACCCAAAAAUCACCCUGUGGCAAGCUUGAAGGUAAUUCAAUGAAAAUAUGCUUAAAGCUCAACGGCUAAUUUACUUAUUUGGAAGUCAUUUUUCUUUAUGUGUUGGAUGAUAAAAUUUGUUGGUCUAGGUUACACGUUCCUGCAAAGAAGAGCAGACGGAGGAUCUGAAAAAUGAAUUGAAACUGGAAUUAAUACAUAGUGUUGAUUAUAUAUUGAUGGAAAUUAGUUUAAAGUUGGAUAUAUUAAUUACUUAGGGAUGUUUGGUAAAACUUAAUACUUAUUAUUUAAUUAUUUGAGUUGACUUUAAAUUAAAUUAUACUUAAAUUACUGACUUAAAACUUAUUAUUUUAAGUAUUAAGAUAUAAAAUUAACUUAAAGUUUAUUUAAAAUCAUUAAGUUGACAUAUUUAUUCUUAUAAAUUAUAAUUAGAAUAGAAAAGGUUGAGUAACAAUAGAACUUAUAGAAUUGUAAAAGAGAUCAUGAAGGUAAUUAAGACAAAUAAAGAUAAAAAGAUAAAAUAAAAAUAUAGAAUUAAAAAUAAAUUAAUUAUUUUUACUUAUUAUUUAAAGUUAUUUUUUACUUUAAAUCAUAUUAUUAAGUUAUUUUAUUAAAUAUACUUAAUUUACUUAAUGACUUAAAUUAAGUUAUUAAAUCAUUUUAAGUUAUUAAAUUGAUUAAUCAAAUUCCUACUUAUUGAAUACAAAUAUAGAAGGAAAUUAGGAAAGCAAAGUAGAUGGGUUAUUAGGUGAAAGCUUAUCAAAUCCGCCUAUCAACAUAUCACACUUUUACCAAAAACCCACCUCAUGCCAAGCCUAUAAGUUGUCAAGUCCUUAUGAUCCAACAACUUUCUUAUGGUUCCCACACGGGUUUCUAUUGUUAUCAAAACAAAAAGUUAUAAUAAAAUAUAUAUAUAUAUAUAUAUAUAUAUAUAUAUAUAUAUAUAUAUAUAUAUAUAUAUAUAUUAUAAUUCAUAGAUAAUCUGACAAUUAAAUAAAAAGAUAAACUCAUUUGUGGAAUAUAAUUAAUAAAAAAAAAAAGAGAAGUGUUAAGAGUUUUAAAUUAUUAUUAUUUUAUUAACAAUUUUAUUAUAUUUUCAUUUUAACUUAAGAAUCUAUUGAAAUAGUGACUUACUCUCUAUUAAAGAUUCAAAGUUAUUUUUCAAUCAAUCGAACUAUCAGGUAAGUAUGAAAAUGAUCGAGUAAAGACAAGUUAAUUGUCACAAAUAAGUGUGAAAAGGAUCGAGUAAAGACAAAGGGUUGAAUUGAAAAUUUUAAUUUGCAUAAAAUGUUUUAAUUAAUUUGAAAAGAAUUUUAAAUUGAGAAUUUGAAAAAAAAAAUUCCAAAUAAUAAAAAUAAUUUGGAAAUGAAUUUUAAAUUAAGGAUUGAAAAUUUAAAAUUUGUAAAAGGAAAAUUUUUAUAAAUCUUUUCUAAUUUUAAAUAUGAAAUAUUUCCAAAUCUUUUUAAAACUCUUAAGUUUCUAAAUUGUUUUCCAUAAAAUAUAAUCUUUAAAUUAAUUGCAACUAUAUAAAGUUUUCUCCUAUAUAUAUCCUACCUAAAUGUAUAUUUGAUGAGGGUCUGACUUGUUUUUCCAUUCUUAAUCUCUAAAGAAAGAAUUCAUUACAAGUACCUACAUCCCUUCAUAAGCUUAGAGGAGUUAGAGCAUUUGGAGGUACUACAUUGUGGAUGUGGAUUAAGGUGUAGGUGCUAGCUAGUUAAUCAUUAAGGUAAAACGGUUAUUAAAUAUGUGUACUUUAAUUUCAAAUAGUGGAUUAUAAAGGGAGAAUUAUGUUUUGGGGGUAGAUGGGCCCCCAAAUUAACAAAAGGUCCAUGUAACUCUUUAAAUUGAGCCCAAGACCCAAUAAAAGUAUGAAAAUUGAGUUGAAGGAUAUCAUCCUUCAGUAUUUCCAAAAAUGUCAUUUGUUGAUUUUGAGAAAAAAAAAUUAAUAUUUUUGAAAAAUACUUUUAUAUAAUUUAAUAUUUUUUAUUUAAUUUAAUAUUUUUAAAAAAAUACUUUUAUGUAAUUUAAUAUUUUUUUAAAUACUUUUAUUUAAUUAAAUAUUUUUUAAAAAUAAAUUUAUUUAAUUUAAUAUUUUAAAAAAAUAUUUAAUUUAAUAUUUUUUAAAAUACUUUAAUUUAAUUUAAUAUUUUUGAAAAAAAAUUAUUUAAUUUAAUAUUUUUGAAAACUACUUUUAUUUAAUUUAGUAUUUUUGAAAAAAAAUUAUUGAAAAAAAAAUAUUUAACUUAAUUUUAUAAAAUAUUUUAUAUGUGUUCUUAAAGGGUAUACUUGUCCGUUACUAUUUCAUAUCCUUCAACUCAAUUUGAAGAGUUAUAUGGACCUUUUGUUAAUUUGGGGACCCAUCUACCCCCAAAACAUAAUUCUCCCGAUUAUAAAUUAGAGGUUUUAAAUCUUGUGAUUUUUUAUGCCCACAAUUAGCAUUGAUAUUUUCAAAUUAAAAUUUCUUGUGUCCCUUAUUUGAUUAUUUUUAUUAUUUUGAUCUUUAAUUAUUUUGAUUAUCCCUAUUAUCUCUUAGUUUAAAUUGAGUUAAUAUUAUUUAACUCUUAUAUUAUUAUCUUUAAAAAUCACCCCACUCUCAAUGUCAUCCUCUUGGACAAAAGCGUAUAUAUAUAUAUAUAUAUAUAUAUAUAUAUAUAUAUAUAUAUAUAUAUAUAUAUAUAUAUAUAUAUAUAUAUAUAAUUCACAAAUCUUGAAAAUAUAUUUAAUAUUAAAAUAUCAUUCCAUGUAAUUUGGAAGUAUUCAAAGAUGUAAAAGAUAUGAUAAUAUAUGUAUAAUUAUUUUUUAUUUAAAAAUCUUAAUAAUUACAUUUGCAACUUUAUUUUGUCCUCAUUAUUUAAUUAAUAUACAAAAAGAUAUGGGAAUAGAAUUAUCAAAAGAAUUGUCAUAAUAAAGCUUUAUAUUCUUAAUAAUAAGUUAAAUUAAGGUGGCAUUUAUUUAUUUUUACUUAAAUCUAAAUGAAAAUUAAUUUAACUUAAUUGUAAAUAUAACUUAAUAGAAUUAAUUAUUAUAUUUUUUUGUUUUUUAUAAUUUUAUUUUUGUUAAGCGUUAAAUAUUAAUUGGGUGAGAGUCCUACUAAGGUUGUGCUUUGACUGAUUCAAAAAAUUAUUUUUAGUAAUGAGCAAAAAGUUAAAUAUUUUACUUUUAUCUAUUCAUUAAAAAAAUCUUAAAAAUUAAAUUUUUUUUUUGUUUUAUUCAAAAUAGUGAAUGGAGUUUGAGUCGAAUUUUAAUUAUUUGGUAAAAUAAUAAAAUUAGUUUUUUAUUUAAAAGAAAAAAUAAAGGUAAGUCAAAGAUAUAAAGAUAAUUAUUUUAUUUUAAAUAAGAAAGAUUCAAAAAAAAAAAAAAAGAUAAAUGAGCUACAAAUUUUAGGAUUAAUUGAUUAAAAUGGAUGAAAAGAUUUCAAAUUUGUAAAACUAAUCUCUUCCAUUUUUUAACUUGAAAGUAACACUUGUUUGACAUAAAUACCCUUUAACAUUUUCAUUAUUUACAUAUGUAUUUUAAAAGAAAAUGUUAUUUUUGUAAGAAAAAAGUGAGAGUAUUCUUAUGUAUUUUUUGGAUGAAAAAAAAUGGUUUGCAAUUUGAUAUUUCUUUCGUCCUUUUUAAUCGGUUAUCCCCAAAUUUUUUUUACGGAAAAUACAAAUUCUAAAAAUAUUUGGUUUUAUUGCUAUUUUUAAAUUUAAAUAUAUUUUUACCUUAAUUAUAUUUUUAUUUCAAAAUAAUUGAUGAUGAUUUAGUUGAAUUCUAACAUUUAAUGGAGUUUUAGUUGAAUUCUAACACUAUAAUAUAAAGUGACCCGAUAAAAUUAUAAAAUCAAUUUUAUUUAAAAAUAAAUAAAGUUGAGUUAAAAAUAGUAUUAAAUGAAUUAAAAUUUAAAAAUAAAAAUGAAUAGUUUUACCUUAAAUAAAAAAUAUUAAAAGAAAAAAUAAUUAGAUAGAUAGGCUUUAAAUUUUAUUAAGAGAAACAUAAUUUUUUUUAAAAAAAUUGUUUUUAUUUAUUUUCAAUUUUAAAAUUUUAUUUCUAUUUUUUAUUUAAAUGUAUUGUCAAAUUUUAUCUAAAAAUAGUUAAUAGAGUUUUGGUUGAAUUUUAAGACUAUAAGAUAAGCGAAUAGUUGAAAUUAUAAAAUGAAAUUUUUUAUUAAAAUGAAAAGAAAGUUAAGUUAAAGAUACUAUAAAUUAUGAUUAGAAGAAUGAAAAUCAAUAUAAAAAAAAAGUGGUUUUAUCUUAAAUUAGAAAUACUAAAAAAAAAAAAAAGGAAUAAUGUAUUGAAAAAUAUAACUGUGGUAGAAGAGCAAUGACUAUGCUCUUUUGAAUACCCUAGUUUAUGUUCAUUUUUUAAAAUUUAAAAAGAAUAAACAUCUUUUAGAUAUUAACAAAAAUAAAUUUAAAUAGAUUCUUAACAUAAAACCUAAAAAACAUUUGUUGUUGGCCAAAAAAUCCAACUAUGAGCCCUUUUAUGACAAGUGAAACUUCCAAAUCUUCUGAAGAGUUUUUUAUCUUAGUAUUAAAAUCUAAAAGCAGAAUAUUUAUACUAUGAGUUGCCUUUUUAACAACUAAUUUAUUUUAUUUAAUGUAAUAAUAUACAUUAAUAUAAAUUAUAGUUGAGUUUUUUUAUAAAAAAAAAUUGGCAUAUGCUUGUAUUACUUUGUUAGCUUGGAGGACGAAAAGCCUAUACAAAUAAUGAGUUGAAUGAAAUAAGAAGCGAGUAAAUUACAUGUAUCAAUGAAAUUGUAAUUUUUAGAUUACAGAAAUGAGUACAUGCAUUAAUAUAUAUGAAAAUAUAUAGUGAUUAUGAGAUUUGAGAAUCUAUUUAUUUUGAAUGAUGGGAAUUAAACUUCGUAAAAUUUCAAUGUAGAUCGGAAGUAAAUUUUUUUGUUACUUGAAAUAUUUACAACUUCUUUCCAGUAGUGAUGUUAUUUUGUAAUAGAACUUCCCUGGACAAUCGUUUUCAUGACUGGGAAUUGAAAUAGAGAAAAUUUUGUAGAAGAUUUUUUCAAAUUUGGAAAAAUCGCAUGUAGAAGAGUUGAAUUGGCAAGGAAAUCUACACUCAUUGAACAGUCUAUGCCCACUUUUCCAAUCAGCCUAGCACGUUUUUUUGAAUUGAAUAACCACGGAUUGAUAUUGAUUGGAUCCAUUAUCAGUCAUUCAAUCCUAAAACAUUCAUUUGUCAAACUCCAUGGAAUAUAGGUUUGGCCGAGUGGACAUUUCAAUACUAAACUUGUCCAAAUACAUUAAAUUGAUAUUUUUAGUAAAUAUGAUGCGCAAAAUGAAACCCACUAGGUCGAUAAUGACCUAGUGGUUAGGGCAAUCCCUCAAAAUUCAUAAAAAAAGAAGAAGCAAAUAGAAUCAAAUAGUAGUUCUUAUGUUAUUUUUUCAAAAAAUAGUUAUCGAGUCUGGAAAUGGGUAUUUUUCAUUUACGAAGCUUAAUCCUAUGGGAUUUAAUUUUCAUCGACUAGGAGAAUAAUUUGAUCCUAGCCACACCUAAUGUUAACGACUUGUUUAGGUAUUCUGAGUGAAGAGGACAACGGUUCCACACCGUGGGCCCCAAAACUAAACCAAAUCCCUCAUACUAUUCAACUACAUACUACCACUGCAUGCCAAGCCGUCUCUCUCAUACUUACCAAUUCUUUCUCUAGUCCAGAUUCUUAAACCCCAACAUUUGGGGUGACCAAUUUAUUACCUACACUCCCGAAGAAAGUUAAUUCAAUGAAAUUAUGUUUAUAUACUUAUUUGGAAGUUAUUUUUCUUAGGAUGAUAAAAUUUGCUGGUCUAGGUUACAAGUGCCUACAAAGAGGAGCAGAUUGAGGAUCUGAAAAAUGAAUUGAAAAUGGAAUUAUACAUUUUCAUGGACAAGGGAAAGGAACAAGGGAAAGUUGUGUUUUCAUGGACCAAUAUGGUAAUAAUAUUGUUUUUGGAACCCAGGUUUGUGAAAGUAGAAAAACAUCUGUUAAUGUGAAACUUAUAUCAGAUUCAUGCACUUUGAGCCGGUUAUAUUUUUUCUACAUAAAAAAUAAAAAUAAAUAAAAUACAAAAUAAAUCUAUUAGAAGGCGUCUGUCUAUUCUCUGCACCCUCACCGCCAAAGAGUAGAUGAGUUGGCGAGUGUGUUCGCUCCGGAGUCUUUACGCGCCGAAGAUGCCUCUUCUCCGAUCACCUCUGUUCUUCUUUGUUUGAAGCCGCCGACUGUUCGGUACCACGUGCUCCGUUUCGGGCACUAAGAAGAAGAACAAGGAGAAGGUGAUAGUGAUAUCCGGUCCCACCGGCGUCGGAAAGAGUAGGCUUGCAUUGGAGCUGGCGAAGCGCGUCAAUGGAGAAAUUAUCAGUGCGGACUCGGUCCAGGUAAGGCACCGAGUUCUUUUACCGUUUUCCUCUUGGAUUGCCCUCUGUUUGGUUGCCGAGAAAGAAAGGGAAGGACAAUGGGAAGGGAAUUAUGUCUUGUGUUGUUGAUUUGGGUGUUUAGGUUUUGUUUUUUGUUUUCUUGUUUGUUUUUUUUUUUUUCUCUUUCAUUUGUUUGGUUGCUGAGAAAAUAGAGGAUUCAGUCUUCUUUAGAAUGUUCUAUGCUUCUGUUUUUCAAUAGGAAGCUAAUGUUUAUGAAAAUUGUGACGAGGGGCUCAUGGAGAUAUGAUAAUGUUGGAGAAAAGUAGAUAAUCUAUAUAGAAAGUUCAAAACUUCAAGCAAAGUUACUCAAGGGACUAAACCUUUAGCAACAAUUUCUCCCAAGUAUUUUGUUGGUUAGUUACUCAAAAAGGUAAUUUUUUUAAGGGGGAAGAAAAUGACAAUUUGCAUUUUAUUUUUUGGUGAUAGGCAAAUGAGAAAAUAUUUAAAAGCUCCUAAAAGGAGCUGCAACAACUUACAGAUGAUGUAUACAGUAGUCACAUAGUUUAGUCAAGAAGAAGAUAAACAAAAGAAAAAUCCUCUCCUUACUCAAAACUUAUCCAAUCUACAAAGUCUAUCAUAGAUAUUGAGUGGUCCACCUUGUACAUUCUAACCCAAUUUACAAAGUAUAUAUAAAGUCGGAUUUGAUUGCUUGGUUUGACUGCUUAGCUUCAUUCAAAGCUCUCCCUUUUUUUUUUCUUCCAAAGAGUAGAAAAAAAGCAUAAGGGUAUAGUCCUCCAGCAUUUUUUUCAUUGCUUCCCCAUGGAAGAGCCAUGCAAACCCAAAAGGAUCCUUCUACUGAAAAACACAUCCCCAAAACCACUCCAAAGAGAAAAGGAUCAACUACCAAACAUAAUUGCUUUGGCACAGUAGAGAAGCAAGUAAUCUGUCAUUUCUUCCUCGCAUUUGCACAAAUAAACUUAUUAAGCAGAGUCCAUACCAUCUUUUUGGUGCCCAUGUGCUCCACACUACACCUGUUGGGAAAGCUCUCUAUCUCCCUUGGCCAAGGAAGAUUAAAGGGAUCUAAUUGAAAAAUUGCUGCUCUUGGACUCAUUUCAUCUCAAUUCGCCCUCCUUUUCCUUUUUAAUUGACAAUGAUUGCAAAUUCAAUUGGAAAAUCUCCACUUCAUCAAGCUCUCAAUCAUUAAACUGUCUUGAAAAGUGGUGGCUCCAUCCACCCUCUUUCCCAACUUGGUCCCACUCCUCCGCUACCCAUCCAUCUCUGUUGGAUGCAAUAGAGAAUAAGUUAGAGAAGACUUGCUUUUUAUUCCCUUCCACUCAUUUUUUAUGGUUUUCCACACCUCCACUCCAUACCCUUCUCUCAUCCUUCUUGAAGACCACCUGCUUCCUCUUCUCCGAACUUUCCUAUUAUGAUUUGUUUUGAUAAGGACUCCUUGUUAGUAACAAAUCUUCAAUCCUACUUACCAAGCAAGGCCUUGUUAAAGGUUGAAAGAUUGUGAAUACCAAGAUCCCCUUCCUUCCUUGCCAAGUAGACUGUAGUCUAAUCAAUAAAAUGAGGUCUUUUCUCUAGUGCACCUCCUCCUCAUAAAAUGUUUCUUUGGAUCUUCCUGAGUCUUGAAUUGACCUUUCUUGAAAUGACAAAAAGGAUAUAUAAAUUGGAAGGCUUAAUAAUGUGCUUUUAUCAAGGUAAGUCUCCCUUCGAAAUGUAUGGGUGGUAUGGAGUUAUCAUUAAGGUAUGCCUAGCAAUUUUUUUUUUUAAACCAUGUACAGACUCCAGCUACUGCUGCAACUAGUGCUCAAUGAACGCAACAGUGUCAGAGAUACAAUUCUGGCCGCAUGCCAUUUGUGACUUCAUAGUUCAUGAUAAGUUUCUUCCUAUCUGCUGCUACAUACCAAAAUGACCAAGGGUUGAUUCUAGUUUGUCCAAAAUUUAUUAAUUCAUAUCAUGUUGUGUGCUGAUGUGAUUUGUUCCAAUUGUAAAACCAUUAUUUAUGUUCUAUAUGUGAUGUAUCUGAUGAAGUAUUCCACUUCCCAUUGUAACAGUGGCAGUUGGGUUAUGCUGAAUAUGAGGACUUUAUGUACAAGAAUGACCAACAUGUAAGGGAAAGGAAGAGUACCUGGUGAUGCUGCUGCUGGAGCAUAUGGGACGCAGUAACAACAGUGUAAUAGGGCUGUUCAUUUUUCCUUCAAUAUUGUAAAGGAAGGGAGUAGGAACAUGGACAACACUCAGUAUUUGUUCUUUUAUUAUAGUUAAGGGUGCUGGUUAGUGUUGUAUUGGCGAUUGAUUGGACAACAACUAUGAUUGUAAGAUGUGAUCCAAAGUGAUAGGUUUAUUAUGGGGUAUGGUACUAAUUUCAUAAGAGAACAACAAACAUAGACUGUAACUUAUUUGUUUGUACACUGAUGCAGUUUCAGUUUAUCCUUCUAUACUCACAUUAGUAAAUUGUUUGACGGCUUUCCUUUCAUAUUUAGUUAUUGUGUAAGCUUUUACAUAGCAUCUUCUAUUAAUGUUAUUGGUAAGUUGGGAGGUUUGUUUGGUUUGAUUUACUACAUUAGAAACAGUUUGCUGGUAUACCAAUAGUUUGCAAUGGCGCCCUUCAAAUCCUGAUCUACCGGGGUUCAGGACUAUUGCUCAUCCUCAUUGGCAAGGGCUACUCAGGGUUCCUAAAUGAUUGUGCAUUUUGCUAAUUUUGUGUUUCAAACCAUGUACAGGUUGUUAUAGAAAAAAUAAAUGUGGUAGAAAACCAAUAAAUAUUUGCUUCGCAUGAUCACCUUCCAUAUCCAACCAAAACCAUCAUAACUUGACAUAACCAGAAAAAUGAGAAAACAACAGUAUGAUUAAAUAAAUACUGAGGGUGAAAAAUUGUCGGGAGAGCAAAAUUUAUCGAAUAUGGUUUAAGAUAGUGUCAUGCUGCAAUAAGUAAUGAAAUUAACUAAUAAAAAUCUGAAGCCACAGAAUGGCUACAUUUCUCGCAGGUGCGUUAAGGUAAUACUUGAGGUACAUUAAGGUAGUACCUGAAGACCAUUAAGGUAGUACCUUAUGUGCAUUAACGCAGUACCUGACAUUUCUUAUGAUUACAUAAGGUAUAGUUGGAGUAACCUAUAAGAACAUAACAAUGUCAUGCUGUAAUAGGUAAUGAAAUUAACUAAUAAAAAUCUGAAGCCACAGAAUGGCUACAUUUCUCGCAGGUGCGUUAAGGUAGUACCUGAGGUACAUUAAGGUAGUACUUGAAGACCAUUAAGGUAGUACCUUAUGUGCAUUAAGGUAGUACCUGAAAUUUCUUAUGAUUACAUCAGGUCGAUGGAGUCACCUAUGACAACAUAACAACGUCAUGCUACAAUAGGUAAUGAAAUGAACUAAUAAAAAUCUGAAGUCACAUAAUAGCUACAUUUCUCGCAGGUGCGUUAAGGUAGUACUUGAGGUACAUUAAGGUAGUACUUGAAGACCAUUACGGUAGUACCUUAAGUGCAUUAAGGUAGUACCUGAAAUUUCUUAUGAUUACAUAAGCUACCGAUGGAGUCGCCUAUGACAACAUAACAACGUCAUGCUACAAUAGGUAAUGAAAUGAACUAAUUGUGUUUGAAGUCAUAGAAGAGCUACAUUUCUCGCAGGUGCAUUAAGGUAGUACCAGAUGUACAUUAAUGUAGUACCUCAGGACCAUUAAGGUAGUACCUGAGGUGCAUUAAGGUAGUACAUGAAAUUUGUUAUGAUUACAUACGCCACCGAUGGAGUAACCUAUGAGAACAUAACAAUGUCAUGCUGCAAUGUGUAAUGAAAUGAACUAAUUGUGUCUUAAGUCACACAACAACAACAUUUCUCAAAUAUGCACUAAGAUAGUACCUGAUGUACAUUAAUAUAGUACCUCAAGACCAUUAAGGUGGUACAUGUUUUGCAUUAAGGUAGUACCUGAUGCGAUGAAACAAUUAUGUCUUCGUUGACAAAAGAUGUACACUACAAAUUCCAACAAACAUUACAAAUUCACAAACACUAACAACAAUUUCUACUAACCAACACAUAAUUUAUGCAUUUUAAUUUUUAUUAUUAUUAUAAUUUUUAUUUUUAUUCUCAAUAUAUAUGAUUGAAUUAUCAAGUUUUUCGUCAAUAUAUGAUAUUGCCUAAUUAUAUUCAUCAAUCUGAAUAAAUACAUAAGUUUUCCACCCAAUUUCUAAAUAUGUCCACAACAUUUUUCCAUUUCAUGAGUCUCCAAUACACAAAAAUAUUGAGAUCGAACAACCGCUCAUGCUAUCCAAAAUCGACAUUUGCCUCAACCUAUGCCCUCACCAAUGGAGGAAAAAUUGCAAAUACAACAACCACUCGAAAAUCACUCUUCUGCUCCAUUUUAAACAAAAAAAUUAUUAAAAAAACAACCCUAAAUACAAAUUAAUUACCUUCACAUUUGAUGUGAAGGUUACAGAAAAAUGUGAUCCAAUGAGAAGAACACGAGAUUUCUUCUUCAUGAACCCAAUAUAUCAGAGUUGUCGUUUCCAUUCUGAUUCGCUAUCCUAAACCAGAUUUUCAGUCAACACGUACCCGCCUCAAGCCGUCUUCUUAACUCGACCUUGUUUCAAUGAAGUGCUCCAUUUGGUUCUUCACAAUUACCACAGGCAACAAAAAUUUUGAUUCAGGUUUUCAAGUAAAGGUUUAUACUUUCAAAUGUGUGAAAUUUUGCAAAUUUUCACACCCUCUUCGAUCCGGAGGGGUGACGAAAUUGGGAUGAUCGGGUCCAAAUGGUUAGGACUUUGAGAGGAGAAGGGGCUGAAGAUAGAAAACUAGAUUGGAGUUUGGGAUUAAAGGCUUCAGAAAUUAAAUGAGAGAAAUUGUUGAAAUAUACAAGAUUCUCUGCUUUGCCUCGGUGACGGAGUGAAGACAGAUGAGAGGAAUGGCUGACAAAAUGAGAGAGAGGGAAGAAAGAACGGCUGAACGCUAGGGUUUUCUUGUGGGAACCUCUGCUUCGCCUCCAUGACAGAGUGUAGAAAGAUGAGAGGAAUGGGUACCAAAUGAGACAGAGGGAGGAACAACGGUCAGUCGCCUAGGGUGUUUUUUGGUGAGAUGGGCUGCUGACGUGGAUACCUGGAGGGGCAAGCUCGGUAGAAAAAACACAGCCGACUCAGAGUGCAUGAAUCUGAUAUAAGUUUCCACAUUAACAUAUGUUUUUCAUCUUUCACAAACCUGGGUUCCAAAAACAAUAUUAUUACCAUAUUGGCCCAUGAAAACACAACUUUCCCUUUUUUAUAUUAGUAUUAAAAUCUAAAAGCAAAAUAUAUAUAUAUAUAUAUAUAUAUAUAUAUAUAUCAUGAGUUACCUUUUUAAUAACUUAUUUAUUUUAUUUAAUGUAAUAAUAUACAUUAAUAUAAAUUAUAGUUGACUUGAGUUUUUUUUUUCUUUUUCUUUUUUAAUUUGGCAUAUGCGUGUAUUACUUUGUUAGCUUAGAGGACGAAAAACCUAUACAAAUAAUUAGUUGAAUGAAAUAAGAAGAAUGAAAUUGUAAUUUUUAGAUUACAAAAAUGAGUACAUACAUUAAUAUAUAUGAAAAUAUAUAGUGAUUAUGACAUUUGAGAACCUAUUUAUUGGAUCCAUUAUCAGUCAUUCAAUCCUAAGGCAUUCAUUUGUCGAACUCCAUGAAAUAUAGGUUUGGCCGAGUGGACAUUUCAAUACUAAACUUGUCCAAAUACAUUAAAUUGAUAUUUUUAGUAAAUGUGAUGCGCAAAAUGAAACCCACUAGGUCGAUAAUUGCCACAUUACAAACUGAUCUGCAGGCUAGUUAGGGCAAUCCCUCAAAAUUCAAAAAAAAAAAAAAAAAAAAAAAAAGAAAUAAAAAAGUGAAGCAAAUGUUAUUUUUUCAAAAAAUAAUUAUCGAGUCUGGAAAUGGUUAUUUUUCAUUUACGAAGUUUAAUCCUAUGGAAUUUAAUUUUCAUCGACUAGGAGAAUUAUUUGAUCGUAGCCACACCUAAUCUUAACGACUGUUCCACACUGUGGGCCCCAAAACUAAACCAAAUCCCUCCUGCUAUUCAACUACAUACAACCACUGCAUGCCAAGCUGUGUCUCUCAUACUUACCAAUUCUUUCUCUAGUCCAAAUUCCUAAACCCCAACAUUUGGGAUGACCAAUUUAUUACCUACACUCCUGAAGACAAGGUAAUUCAAUGAAAAUAUUUGGAAGUUAUUUUUCUUAAUUUGUUGGAUGAUAAAAUUUGUUGGUCUAGGUUACAAGUGCCUACAAAGAGGAGCAGAUUGAGAUCUGAAAAAUGAAUUGAAAAUGGAAUUAUACAUAGUGUUGACUAUAAGAAUUAGGUAUGCACAAAAUGACAAGGGACUCAAAAUUGGAUACAUUAAAUAAAAGGAAAAAGAAAGAAAAAACCCCAAUUUAUACCUUUUCCUUUCACGUCAUCAAUCCCUUUCCCUUUCACGUCAUCAAUCCCUUUCAUACAUUACUUUCAACAUUAUUGUUUUACAUUAUUUUCAACAAUAUACAAUUUCUGAAGGCCAUUGCUACCCUAUUAAUGCAAUGGAGCUUCCCAAGCUUUUGCACUCAUACUUACCAAGUCAGCUUUCAAAGUAGUGUUCUACUACCGUUCCAAAAAAUUAUCAUGGCGAGUCAAGUCUUAUCAAGCCCUCUAGGCCAAUUUUCUAAACUGGAAAAUCGUCCAGUGGCCAAUUAUCACCCUACCAUUUGGGGUGACCAGUUCAUAUCCUACACUCCUGAAGACGAGGUAAUUGAAUUAAAAUAUGUGUUAAAUCUUAUAUGGCUUAUAAAUGCCUAUAUAUUCGAAAGUUGCUUUUCUUAAUGUGUUGUUUAGUAAAAUUACUUGGUUGCCACAGGCAACACGUGCCUGCAAAGAGAAGCAGGUUGAAGAUCUGAAAGAGGAAAUUUGAAGGAAGCUAAUGAAUGCAGCUGGUAACACUUUCCAACAGCUGAAAUUUAUCGAUGCUGUGCAACGUCUUGGGGUGGCAUACCACUUUGAAAGAGAGAUAGAAGAAGUGUUACAACAUAUUUAUGAUAGCUAUCCUGAUGGUGAUGAUAUGGAAGGUGAUAUCUAUAAUGUUGCUCUUCAAUUUCGGUAACUAAGGCAAGCUGGGUUCAAUAUUUCAUGUGGUAAGAGCCCAAAGAAUGAUCAUGUGUGAGCUAAAAUCCAUCCUUCUCAUAAUUCCAAUCUUAUGUUUAAAUUAUGGUAUUUAUGUAGGCAUGUUCAAUGAGUUCAAGGAUGAAAAGGGUAACUUCAAGAAAGCUUUGGUCAGCGACGUAAGAGGCAUGCUGGGCUUGUAUGAGGCUGUGCAUCUCAGAGUUAAUGGAGAAGACAUACUGGAUGAAGCACUUGCUUUCACCACCACCCAUCUAAGGUCCAUGGUAGAACAUUUAGAAUAUCCUCUUGCGGAAGAAGUUGCUCAUGCACUAAAGCAGCCCAUUAGAAAAGGUUUAGAGAGGCUAGAGGCAAGGUGGUUUAUGUCUAUCUACUAGGAUGCACAACUCUACUAAAGCUGGCCAAGCUAGAUUUCAAUCUAGUGCAGUCCCUACACAAGGAGGAGCUAAGCAAUAUUGCUAGGUUUGCUUUCAAAUCACUAGCAGAUAUACCUAGUCACCUUCUCAUUUUACCAUGAGCUAAUUGUUUUAAUGAAUUUUAGGUGGUGGAAAGAAUUAGACUUUGCUACAAAGCUACCUUUUGCGCGAGAUAGAUUCGUGGAAGGCUACUUUUGGAUAUUUGGGGUGUACCAGGGUUCAAAGUAUUAGCCGAGUCCCAUACGACUCGACCGAGUCGUAUCUGCCUCGACACUUACCACGAUGAGUCCGAUACCAGGUACAAUCCUAUGCACUAACUCAACAUUAAAUCAGUAGGACUCAAUUGGCUUGGCUCAAAUUCCGAGUUAACUUGGUUGAAUCGGUUAAAUUACAAAAUUUUUUCUGAUUCAAAUCAGUGAUUUUUUUUCCCUUUCAAAUUAGAACAUAAAGAUCAUAAAAUUUUCCAAAAAAAUCAAAGGAAGAAGAAACAUUGAAAUUUAAUCGAGCCGUGACUUCUUUUUAAGUCUAGAAGAGGAGAGAUCAGGCAGAUGAGGGCUCACUUACCUCACCACAAUCGACGGAGCAUGAGAGUUUUGGGACCGAUGGAUCACUCCUCAGCGUCGAUUUCAGUGAACUAAGCAUUGGAUACCUUUUCCGGUGACGACGACCAUUCGGGGAGAGCUUUUAUCGCAAGUUUGCAAACUUGUAGUCAAAACAAUAUUUGGGAAAGUAAAUUAAAACUAGAAUGUUAUGAUUUAUAUGCACUAUGAGAUUUAAUGAGAAUAACUUGGAUGGCAUUUUAAUAUUUUUAAUUUAUUAUAUAAUCUAAAUUUUUUGUCUUAUAACAUUCCAAAUUAAAGUAGAAAAUCAAUAAUUAUUUAAAAAAUAUAUUUUUAAAAGAAUCAUAAUUAUAAAAACAACAUUUUAAUAAUAGGUUUAUAUUAGGGAAUCAAUAAUUAUUUUUGUAUGUUAUAAAGAUUACAUUUAUACUUGAAUUAUUUUUAAUUUUUUAUAUCAUAUAAAUUUUUUAUCUUAUAAUAUUGUAAAUUUUAAUUAUAUUAGGAAAUCAAUGAAUGAUUUUAUAACUAUUUAAAUGAUGUUAGUUAUGAGAUAAUUUUUUUUUAUAUUAUUUUUUACCUUAUUUACUUACUUGUACCUAUUUUUUUAAAAUAAUUUACAUAAUAUUUUUAAAAUUUUUAAAAUUUUCUAAUUAUCAUAUUUUGCGUAUCUUCCGAUACCAAACCGAUACACUGAGAUCGAUGUGCCUCAAGAUCGUCCGAGUCAAUGAUCGAUACUGCGACUUUGAAUCAUGAGGUGUACUUUGAGCCUCAAUAUGUCCGGGCUAGAUGAAUUCUAACCAAAACAAUUUCCAUGACAUCCAUUAUAGAUGAUAUAUAUGACACAUAUGGCACAUUUGAAAAACUCGAGCUCUUCACCGAGGCCAUUGAGAGGUUUGAUUGAUGCAAAUUACCAACCUUCAUCAUUUAUAUUGUAUGUGAUACUUAAAUCAAGCCUGGUUUUAUUUUCAGGUGGGAUAUUAACAGCAUAGAUCACCUUCCAGAAUACAUGAAACACUGCUAUGUGGCACUCUUAGAUGUGUACAAGAGAUGGAGAAAAAAGGAAACCAAUAUCGGGUUCAAAAUGCGAUAGAAGCAGUAGGACAUUCUGCAUUGACUUUGUUUUGUAUAGUAACAUAUCGUAAGGAUAUGGAUGUAACUUGAUUGAAUGUUUGACAGAUGAAAAACCUAGUUAGAGCUUAUUUUCAUGAGGCUAAUUGGUUCCAUGAAGGAAGCAUACCAACAAUGGAAGAGUAUAUGAGGAUAGCACUGGUAACCUCAGGUUACUACAUGCUUACAACCAUGUCUUUCAUUGGUAUGGGAGAAAUUGUAACAAAGGAGGCCUUUGAUUGGGUGAUCAGUGACCCUAAGAUUAUCACAGCAUCAGCUGUAAUUUGUAGGCUCAUGGAUGACAUCAGUUCACAUAAGGUAUUGUGAAUAUAGUAUUUCUUGUUAAGCUAUAAUUUGACCUUGACCUUAAAGCUCAAUCAAUUAAACAUAUUUACUGUACUCUUCUUCUAAACUAUAUAUGCAGUUUGAGCAAAAGAGAGGGCAUGUUGCCUCAGGCAUUGAAUGUUACAUGAAGCAAUAUGGUGCCUCUGAGGAAGAGGCAUACGAUGAGUUUCAGAAGCAAGUUGUGGAUGCAUGGAGGGAUAUUAACGAGGAGUUCCUACGACCUACAGUUGUUCCGAUGCCUCUCCUAAUGCGUGUGCUUAAUCUUUCUCGAGUGAUGGAUGUGAUCUACACGGGGGGAGAUGGGUACACUCAUGUUGGAAAAGUGAUGAAGAACAAUGUUGCAUCACUGCUCAUUCACCCUAUUGUAUGACCAAAUGGAUCAAGUUGAUCACCAUCUACAUAUUCUGCCUUACCUAGGGAGUAGGAUGAAUAAAAAUUAUUGUAAUAGUAUGGGAGAGACCUAUAAUGCUGUGACCCUAAGAUUAUCACAGCAUCAGCUGUAAUUUGUAGGCUCAUGGAUGACAUCAGUUCAUAUAAGGUAUUGUGAACAUAGUAUUUCUUGUUAAGCUAUAAUUUGACCUUGACCUUAAAGCUCAAUCAAUUAAACAUAUUUACUGCACUCAUUUGUGCGAUUCUUUUUCUUGGUAUCCAUGAUUAAUUAAUUAAUUGUCAUAAUUCUCUUAAUUCGUUUUGUAGAGAUCAUAUGUAUACGGACUUCAAAGGGUGCUACGGCUCACCAUUGUACAUUCCCAAGUAACCUGAUAAUCGGAUCUAGAUUCGAUUUUUGUAAACAUGUAUUUUUCAAAUAAGAAGUCACACAUGAUUUUCUUUUUAUUUUGUUUUUCCUUAAAAAAAAACUAAAAUAAAUAGCGACUAACUUUUCAAAAAUCAAUUUUUCACAAUGAAAAAGCGAGUCUCGCCAUUUUAAGUGGGGACACACAUGAAAAAUGCGGGUCCAUAAUGAGUUUAAUUAUUUCUAAAUUCAAAGGAUUAUAAAAAUUUAUUUAUAUAAAAAAAGGAUAUUCCAUUUUGAUGAUUCCAAUCUAUUUUAAGUACCAAAGAAAGUUUUGAUUUUUUUUCUUAUUUACAAAAAAAUGCUUCAAAGUUCUUAAUUUUCACAAAUUUUAUUUACCAACAUUCCAAUUUGAUUUUCAUACAGAAAGAAACUAUUUUUAUAAUUUUUAUUAAAAUAUGAUUUUUUUUUCAAUUUUUUUAAAAAAGUAUCUAAAUCUAAUCUUAUGUCCAUGAGAAUACUUUUACAAAUUCUUUAAGAAACGGAUUUUAAAAAUUUAUUUUUAAAAAAAAUUACAAUUUUAUUUAGAAAAUAAUAAAUAUUCGGAUCCAAUUUUAAUUACAUAAAAAAAUUAUUUUUUUAGUUUUUAUUGAAAAUAAGAUUUUUACAAUUUUAUUUACAUAAGUAUGAAAAUCCAAUUCCAUAUUAUUUACUAAAAUGCAUUUUUUUUUUUACUAUUUUUAAUAAGACAUGAUUUUUACAAUUUUUUUUUAAAGUUUACGAUUUUUAUUAAAAAAAAAAAAGUCUUUGCAAUUUUUUUUAACAAAUUUUUUAAUGUUUUAUUAAAACAAAAUGAUUUCUAGAUUUUAUUUUUUUUUAAAAUGAUUUUCAAAAGUUUAAAAAAAAAAAAAAACCUUUACAGUUUUAUUUAAAAAAAAAAAAACGAUUUUCCAACUGUAUUUACAAUUUAUUUAAAAACGGAUUUUACAGUUUAAAAAAAAAUACAUUUUAUUGUUUUAUUUCAAUCUUACUGUUGUUUUUAUUUUUUUGGAAAAAAAAAAAAAAAAAGAGAAGCUCAAAUUUAUUUUUCUCCUCUCUCUCUCUCUCCCUCCACACGCUCAUUAACUUUAAUGUCAAGGUAUCAGCCCAAUUGACUUGAUUUAUAUUAACUUAAAACUUUUGUUCUAAUAGGUACCUUCAUAUAACGGCAAAGCCUUUGAUUUAUAUAGGAAGUCAUGGAGGUGAACUGUGAACCUUAGUGAUGCGUACCCAAACCCUACCAUUUAUUUGUAAUAUAGUCAUCAUAAUAUUUAAAUUAAACAUUUAAAAUAUGUUUUUUGUUCUCUUAGAAAUACGAAAAGUGUAUCUUAUUCCCUUAAUAAUUCUCAACAUUCAACCAGCCGCCAAACAGUGAUUAAGACUUUUUCACGUGAAGAUAAAACUUAUGAUUGAUCUUAUUUUUAUAAAAACACUAAAAAACGAUUUUUUUUAUCUUUAACUUAAAAAUGGUUUUUAAAAAUAAUUUUUAGAAAACAUAAAUUAAACAGACUCUUAGGGUUUCAUUUGAGAAAUAAAUGAAGAAGAUUACAAAAAAAUUGAAAAUAAAUAAAGAAGAUGAUAUUUUAAUUUUUAUUUAAUAUCUUAAUUUUUAUUAUCUAAAAUUAUUUAAUUAUUCUAAUUAAUGAUAUUUUGAGUUUAAUUAUGAUUAAAAUAUAUAAAAGUCUUAAAUUGAGAUAAGUUGCUUAAAUGAUUGAUUGUGGAUUGAAAUUUUACUCACAAAAUAUGCAUGUGGCUUUCGCUUGAAAAGGCAUAUGUUGGGAAGCAGUUAUGCUUGGUUACGAGUUCUAUAAGCUUACGAUUUUAGAUUUGCAUGAUUAUCUUAAUUUGGAUUAGACAGCUACGGAGAAGGGGCCUUUAUUCAAACUGUUUGUCUUAUUCUCAACAAAGGAAGCAUUUUAUUUAAAACAGAACACUCUAAGAAAAACUAACAGCCAAAUUAAAACAAUUAGGCCAUGUUUGGUACGAAGCCAAAGCAAUUAGGUCAUGUUUAGCAUGAAGCCAAAUCACGACCAUGUUUGGUAUAUAGAAAUGAAGAGUAAGAAUAGAUAUGUUAUUUAUUUUCUCAUUCAUUUUCAUAUUUGGAUGAUUUAAGUAUAGUAAAAAUAAAAUAAAAAAUAAUUUCAAAGAAAUGAAACAAGUUAUUCUUAAAAACACUUUUUAAAAGUUAAAAAUCAAAAACUUUUUUAGAUAAGUCCGUUUUAAAAAUAAUUUUUUAUUUUGAUUUUGUAAAAAAGAAAUUAUAAAUUCAAUUUAUAUAAUAUAAAAUUAAUUUAAUUCAAGUCUUAUAAAAAAUAAAAAUAACUUUGUAAUUAUAAAUACAUUUUUAAAUUAAAUAUUUUUUAAUAAAAUAUGAAUAGGAUUAUCAUAAUAUAAUCAUAAAUUAUAUUUUUAAUAAAUAUUAUAAAAAAUAUGGAUAUUAACCUCUUAUAAAAGCAUAAUUGAUUUAUUUUGUUAAAAAUAAAUAAUAAUGAUUUAAAAUUAAUAAUUACUAAUACUAUUUUUUAAAAUUAUUAUACUUACUACUUUGUUUUAAAAAAUUAUUUCUCAAGAACAAUAAUCGAUAGUGGUAUUAAUUUUUAAAAACAAUUUUAUUUUUAAAUGAAAAGCCUAAACAGGUUUUUAUUAUUUAGCAAAAAAAAAAAAAAAAAACACUGUCAAACAUUUUUUUAAAAUGAAAAUAAAAAAAUUAUUUAAAAUGAUGUAUUGUGUAAGAGAUUUUUUUUAAAAUAAAAAUAAAAGAUUAAAGAUACUAUAAAUUAUGAUUAAAAUAAUGAAAAUUAAUAAAAUGAUAUUGGCUUUUUUUUUUAAAUACAUUCGAAAUAUUAAUCUAAAAAAAGAAGAUAAAUGAAUAAUAUAUUGAAAAAUAUAACUUUGUCUUUUUUCUUACAAUAAUUUUCAUAGCUUUAAAAAUAGUGAUCUUUAAUUUUCUUGCUAUUAUUUAUUAUUAGCUGAGUUGUAUAAAUUACAUUGUUAUAGUUUCCUUUAAAACCAAAAUAAAAAUCAAUCCAUGUGGUUCAAUGACAAUAUUGGCUGAAAAAAAAAAAUCACUUAAUUUUCAUCUACUAGAUCCUAGCCGCCACCUAAUAUUUAUGACUUGUUUGGAUAUUUUGAGUGAAUUUAACCAAAGAGACACUAGAAGGCCAAUAGUUUUCUUGCCAUCAGUCUCUUCCAUGCACUACCCUUUCAAAUCAUGGGCCCCAAAACCAAACCAAAUUCCACAUACUUUUCAACUACAUACAACCAAUGAAUGCCAAUGCUGCCCUAUAAAUAUGGAGCUUGCCAAGCUAUUUCUCUCAUACUUACUGUAACGCCGAAGUAUUUUUUUAAGGGUAAUUUAGGAAAUUACUAAUAAUAAUUCAAUUAGUUAAUUAAUUAAUUUAAUAAAGUGGAAGAUGGGUAAAAGUGUAAUUUUAUGAAUAAAUACCCUAGGUAUAAAUUAGAAAUUCUAUUUCUUCCUGUUCUUUUCUGAAUAGAAUUCCUGUUCGCAGAAUUUCAGAGAACGUAGAUUGAAGUUAGAUUUCAGGGUUGAAGAACAGAUCUCUAUAGGUAAGAUUCAGUUUAAUAUUUUAGAUUCAUUGAUUAAUUUCAAACACAUUAGAUAUCUUUUGGAAAACCCAAAUCUAGAUUAGGGUUAGUUUAUUUUAUUUUUUUUAAUUCGUUUUCAUAUCAAUAGUAAAAAAAUAAAAAAAAUAAAAAAAUAAAAAUAAAAAUUUAAGAUUUUGAUUUAUUGUUGGUAUUUAGGAGAUCUUAAGUUUUAUUAGAUGAAAAACAAAAAAAAGGUUCCUUGGAAGGUUUCGAUUUUAUAUUAGGGUUAAUUUUAUUAAAAAAAGAAAAAGGGCGUGCGCCAAAUGAAAGGAAGCCUUAUAUAUAUAUAUAAUGAAUCAUGAUGAUGGCAAUGGAAAAAAAAAAACUUGCUUUUUGGUUUGGUGUACCCGAGACAACUAGGUAAUGGUUGAGUGACUUUUGAAUUGGUUAAUUAAAAUAAUAAUAUUUAGUUUAAGAUUCAUAAUUAAGAUAAUAGUAAUAAUAGUCUUCUUUUUUUUGUAAUAAAUAGAAUGAGAGAUUUAGCAAAAUAUAUAUAUAUAUAUAUAUAUAUAUAUAUAGAAUUUUAUAAUGAAAUAAAAUUGUAAUUUAAUUAAAUUAGUAAUGUGUUAUUAGAAACAAAUUGAGAAUUUAUUAAUUUUAUUUAAAUAAGGAAUAGAUUAGUUAAAUUAUAGAUAAAUAGUAAUAAUUAUUUAUCUUAUGUUAUAUUAGGAGAAGAGUAGAUUUUUCCAGAAUUAUUUUUCUCCCAAGCUUUCAAGGUCUUUGCAUAAUUUGAGGUAAGGGAAGUUAAUGCAAUAUUUAUAAAAUUUAAAUUAUUUUAUAUGUUAUUUUGAAUUGUGGAAAAGAAAAUGAUAUUUUGUUACCAUGCAUGGAUCAAAUUGUUUUGCACUAAAUAUUAUGUUGGAAUAUUUUGUUUUAUUUAUGACACAAAAUAUGGAGAUAUUAUGUUGUGUAAAUUUGAAUACUUGAACAAAAACAUCACUCUGGUUUAUUUGACCCUUGUCAACGAGAUAUAAUAGUUGACUAUUCGGCCCUGUCAACAGGAUAUAAUAGUUGACCUUUACAUUUCAUGGUAAGAAUGUAAUUGAUUUGGACCCCAGCCUCUAGGGGUUUGGUUAGAGGUUACUAGUAGUAGUAGUGUUUGGUUCCGUCCACCAGGAACAACUUGAGGCUAGCCACCCAUUUGAAAAGUCCCACCUAACUGGGCAUUUGAUAUUUGAUAACCAGAGUAAUGAAAAUUGAAUGGAUUUGAUUGAAUCUUAUGUGAAAGUGUUUGAAUUUGAUAUGAAAAUGGUUGGUUGAAUUUUGAAUAUAUUGGUAUUUUUGAAACUCUGAUAUUUGAUGAGAAAAAAAAAUGAUAUCUCCUAUUUGAAAUGAAAAUAUUUUUCCAUGAACUGCAUUAAUAUUCCUUACUGGGCUGUGAGCUCAUUCCCAAUUGUUGAAAACUUUUCAGGUACUCUUAGUUCGGGUGAGGAGUGAUGGCUAGGAUGAGGAAUGGUCAUCAUUAGGAUUUGACUUAGGAUUUUAUGUUGGAUUUUGUUUAACUGUUAGUUAUGUUCAUUUGGACCCUUUGGUAUUUGGAAGUUAUUUGGAUAUUGAUCCUUCAAAUUUUAUGUUAGAUCAAAGUUGAGUUUUGGAGAUUUUGAAAUUUGUUCUAGUACUUGAAUUGUUUAAGUUUGCAAAUAUUUGGAUAAUGGAUUUUGGAUAGUGGAUGUUUUAGUUUUGAAAUUGAAUUUUGAGGAUUUUAGAUUUUGUUCCGCUACUCUGAAUAGGUAUUUGGUAAUUAGUAACUUCCGAUUACAAGAUAAUUGUUUGGGUCGGGUUACACUGUAAGCCUUCGGGUUUGAAGUGUGAAAUGACCGUCACGCUCUUGGAGUGGGUCUUGGGGCGUGACAGAGUGGUAUCAGAGCACUAGGUUUUGAUCUUGAUGGGAAUUUGAAUUGGUUUAGAUUGGGGAUAGAUGAGUGACGCAUUUGUUUAAGUUUUAGUUUCAUUUAGUAUAAAUUCCAAUUCUUUCUUUAUUUGUAAAUUUUCUAAUUGGUUCUUUAGUGACUAAAUUAGUUAUGCCUUAUUAUUUUAGGACAUCAUGCCACCAAGAAGAGCAACUUCUUCACAAAAUAGUCAGAUUAAUGAUGAUGUACCUCCAGUUGAGGGUUUGCCUCCCGUGAGUGCAAAAGGGAUCUAUAGGUAUCUUGGGACACUAGCUGGUUUAGUUGAACGCCAAGCUCGAGCUGUUGGGACUAAUGUUCAGGGACAGACUUCAUCUUCUAGGGGUAACUCUUUUGAUGACUUCAAGAAAUUGGGUCCUCCUUACUUUUCUGGUGCUACAGAUCCCACAGAGGCAGAGGCUUGGAUCCUUAAGGUGGAGAAAUUCUUUGGUGUCAUAGAUUGCUCUGAGGAGCAAAAAGCCUCUUAUGCAGCUUUUAUGUUAGAUAAAGAGGCAGAUCAUUGGUGGCGUAUGACUAGGAGACUUUUGGAGGAUCAGGGACCCAUAACAUGGAGACAAUUUAAGGAGGCUUUCUACAAGAAGUAUUUCCCUGACAGUGUUAGGCGGCAGAAGGUGGGAGAGUUUAUUCAUUUGGAACGGGGAGAUAUGACUGUGGCUCAAUAUGAGGCCAAAUUUACAGAGUUAUCAUGUUUUUCCCCACAGUUGAUUGCUACAGAGGAGGAAAAGGCAUUAAAGUUUCAGGAUGGAUUGAAGCCUUAUUUGAAGAACAAGAUAUCUAUUCUGAAGCUUGGUGUCUAUUCAGAGGUUGUUGACAGAGCCCUUAUAGCAGAGAAAGAUAAUGAGGAGCUUCAUCAGUAUAGGGAACAACAAAGGAAGUGAAAUAGGAGUGAUAGUGCUCAUGGUAAUCAAGCACAGCGAAGGUCUACAUCAGGAAGAAAUCAGAAUAAAGGGAAUGCAACGCAUUAUUUAGAUGGGGCUUGUCCUACUUGUGGUAAGAAGCAUGGGGGUAGGCCAUGCUAUAGAGAGACUGGAGCUUGCUUUGGUUGUGGGAAGCAAGGACAUUUGAUCAGAGAUUGUCUAGAGAAUAGGAAGUUCAUCAAUGGGAAGCCUAAAGAGGAAAAUAAGGAGGAUAAACAGAAACCCAAAGCCCAAGAACGGGUGUUUUCUUUGACUCAUCGAGAUGCUCAGGCCACUUCUGAUGUGGUAACAGGUACUCUCCGAAUCCACACCUUAUUUGCUAGAGUCUUGAUUGAUCCUGGAUCAACACACUCUUUUGUUUCAGUAUCUUUUGCCAGUUUGUUGGGUUUGCCUGUUGCUAGCAUGGACUUUGAUUUGAUUGUUACUACUCUUGUGGGAGAUUCUGUUGUGGUCAGUAGAAUGCUUAGAAAUUGUAUUGUGAUGAUUGGUUAUAGGGAAAUGCCAGUUGACUUAGUACUCCUUGAUCUUUAGGAUUUUGAUGUGAUUUUGGGGAUGGAUUGGUUAGCUUCCUACCAUGCCUCUGUUGACUAUUUUGAGAAAAUGGUGACGUUUAGUAUUCCUGGUCAGCCUAAGUUUAGCUUUGAAGGGAAGCAUGUGGACAGACCACUGCGUAUGAUCUCAGCCUUGCGAGCUAGUAGCUUGCUCAAGAAGGGUUGCCAAGGAUUUUUGGCUAGUGUGAUGAGUAAUGAAAGUGAUUUGAAGUUGGAAAACAUACCCAUAGUAAGGGAGUAUGUUGAUGUCUUUCCAGAGGAUUUGCCUGGCUUGCCACCAGAGAGAGAGGUGGAGUUUACCAUCGAUUUGGUACCAGGAACAGGUCCUAUGUCUAAGGCCCCAUACAAGAUAGCACCUGUGGAGCUUAAGGAGUUGAAAGUUCAGCUUCAAGAGUUAUUAGACAAGGGUUUUAUCAGGCCUAGUGUUUCACCUUGGGGAGCUCCUGUUCUAUUUGUAAAAAAGAAGGAUGGCUCAAGGAGACUUUGCAUUGACUAUAGGGAGUUGAAUAAGGUGACAGUGAAGAACAAGUAUCCCCUUCCUCGGAUUGAUGAUUUGUUUGAUCAGCUAUAAGGUGCUUGUGUGUUCUCUAAGAUAGAUCUUCAAUCGGGUUAUCACCAGUUGAGGGUUAGAGGGGAAGAUGUACCCAAGACUGCUUUUCGAACUAGGUAUGGGCACUAUGAGUUUCUUGUUAUGCCUUUUGGUUUGACUAAUGCACCUGCUACUUUUAUGGACUUGAUGAAUAGGGUAUUCAAACCCUAUUUAGAUCAGUUUGUGGUGGUUUUUGUAGAUGACAUCUUGGUAUACUCAAGAAGUAGAGAGGAGCAUGAGGGCCAUUUGAGUAUUGUAUUACAGACCCUCAGAGAUAAGCAGUUGUAUGCUAAACUGAAGAAGUGUGAGUUUUGGUUAGACCGAAUUNNNNNNNNNNNNNNNNNNNNNNNNNNNNNNNNNNNNNNNNNNNNNNNNNNNNNNNNNNNNNNNNNNNNNNNNNNNNNNNNNNNNNNNNNNNNNNNNNNNNAACGAAGAAGUUGCAGCCAUUACAAGCCAGUCACUCUAAAGUGUUGCGGAAUCAGCCUUUUGUUGCGAGAAUUUCGCAGCACUUUUGUACAGUAAGGUGUUUCUCCUUCUGACGAUGCACGAACCAUGCCGCGAGAAGGGAGCUGGAAACUUCAAGAUGGAAGCCAACUUUGCAGCCUAGUGAAGAUAGCUCGGUCUUGCAAGAUAAUUUCGCAGCCCUCUUGGGUGUCUGCGAAAUUUCGCAGGCCCCACUUUUCACCUGCGAAAUGGCUCCUGAAGCCUCCCGAAGCUUGCUACCGACAUUGGGAGAUAUUUUCCAUUAGAUUUUUGUUGUCUAAAUCCCAAAAUACUCCUUGUAAACCACCAAUUACAUGAUUCCUUAGUUUUUAGGUUAGUAAAAAGACCAAAUAUCUUUGUAAGAAUUAGUUUUAUAUUAGUUUGAUAUAAAUACCUCUCGGGAGCCUGUUCUCGGGGAGGAGUUCCUUCUGUAAACAUUUGGUAAGGAAGUAAAGGUCUUUUCUUUCUACUGCCUUACCUUCUCACUUUGUAUUUUCAUUAUAUUUCUAAGUUAUGAAUUCUCUGAGGAGUUUUCCCCAGAGAAUGAGUAACUAAACCUCCAAUUCCUUGGAGCUAAGGUUGCCGGGGAAGGUUCCAAGUGCAAAAAUGCAAAGCUCUGUGGUUUUAGCUAGUAAUGAAGAGGAAGUGAAAUCCUUUAGUGAUUUCAAUGUUUUUAGUUAACUUAAAACACCUUGGAGUCACCUGGGCCAACACUUGGUAAGGCAAGUGAUUUCCAACCGUGGAAAUGCACUAGUUUACCCCUUGCGAGCCUCUGGUAGGUGACUUCAAGGUAGGAUUUUCCGGAAUUACCAACACUUGGUAAGCUUUUGGACUCCUAGGAGACAUCCAUUAGUUAUCUCUUGCGAGUUUGUGAAGGGAAGUCCAAGGUUAAAGAUCACCUUGAAUGGUAAGUGCUCGUGAGAGGCAUGAACCAUUGCAAGGUGCAUCAGUGAGAGAAUUAAAGUGAAAUCUAAUUGAAGGAGUCUCUGUACAUCACCGGUUAGAGACUUGACUCUAAGUUGAAUCUCUAAUGCGAGGAAAUGAACCAUCUGACCAGAGCUAUGUCUUUUGCAUGAGGAACCACCCCAGUGAACCUAAAUCUCCNNNNNNNNNNNNNNNNNNNNNNNNNNNNNNNNNNNNNNNNNNNNNNNNNNNNNNNNNNNNNNNNNNNNNNNNNNNNNNNNNNNNNNNNNNNNNNNNNNNNAAAUCAAAGUUUGUGUUUUAUUUCUUAAACUAACCGUGAAAUGAAACAAAACCAAUUCACUUGGAAUUGGUAUCCUUGAUUGCUUGCAAAUCAUUCCUAGUGAACGAUCCUUAGAGCCACUAUACUAUAGUAGCUUUGUAUUUGCUACCCUAGUGUAUGGUGUUAUAGGUAUAAAUUUUGUUGAUCACUUCCUCAAUCAAGGAGCACCAGCUGAACACAAAUCAGCUGAGACACCAAUUGGGCAUGAGUCAGAGAUCUUGAGAUUUGGGACUAGACUUUGUGUCCCAAAUGAUGAAGACUUAAGAAGGGAGCUUUUAGAGGAAGCUCAUUGUUCCAAGUUUGCAAUCCACCCAAGAGGGACAAAGAUGUACAAGGAUUUGAGGCAAAACUAUUGGUGGUCAGGUAUGAAGCAUGAUAUUGCACAAUUUGUGGCUCAGUGUUUAGUGUGUCAACAGGUGAAGGCUGAGCAUCAGCGACCAGCAGGGUCUUUGCAGCCACUUGCUAUUCCUGAGUGGAAGUGGGAGCAUAUUACCAUGGAUUUUGUGAUAGGAUUGCCAAGAACCUUAGGGAGUAAUAAUGCUAUUUGAGUGGUUGUUGAUCGGUUGACAAAGUCUGCUCACUUUUUGCCUAUGAAAGUCAACUUUUCUUUAGAUCGUUUAGCUUUUCUUUAUGUGAAGGAGAUUGUGAGAAUGCAUGGAGUACUAGUUUCUAUAGUGUCUGAUAGAGAUCCUCGUUUCACUUCUAGAUUCUGGCAUAGUCUAUAAAAAGCUUUGGGCACUAAGUUGAGUUUUAGUACUGCUUUCCAUCCUCAAACUGAUGGUCAAUCAGAAAGGGUAAUUCAGGUUUUAGAAGACUUGUUGAGAGCUUGUAUUUUGGACUUGCAAGGUAAUUGGGAUGAUCAUUUACCUUUAGUAGAGUUUGCCUAUAACAAUAGUUUUCAAGCUAGCAUUGGGAUGUUACCUUUUGAGGCAUUGUAUGGUAGGAAAUGUCGAUCUCCUAUCUGUUGGAAUGAUGUUGGAGAAAGGAAACUUUUGGGGCCUGAACUUGUGCAGUUGAUUGUUGAAAAAGUUGCUUUGAUUAAAGAAAGAUUAAAAGCAGCUCAAAGUAGACAUAAGAGUUAUGCUAAUCAUCGUAGGCGAGAUUUGGAGUUUGAGGUGGGUGAUAUGUGUUCUUGAAAGUUUCACCUAUGAAGUCUGUGAUGAGAUUUGGGAGAAAAGAAAAACUUAGUCCUCGUUUUGUGGGUUCGUUUGAAAUAUUAGAAAGAGUAGGCACUUUGGCAUAUAAAGUAGCCUUGCCCCCAAGUCUAUCUAAGAUUCAUAAUGUUUUCCAUGUUUCAACCUUGAGGAAGUAUAUUUAUAAUCCAUCUCAUGUUGUGGAGUUGGAGCCUAUUCAAAUUUCGGAGGACUUGACCUAUGAAGAGGUACCCGUUCAAAUUGUGGAUGUGAUGGAUAAGGUACUGCGACAUGUUGUUGUCAAGUUGGUAAAGGUCCAGUGGAGCAAUCAUAGUAUCCGAGAGGCCACUUGGGAGUUAGAAGAAGAGAUGAGAGAAAAACAUCCUCAAUUAUUUCAAGACUCAAGUAUGUCAAGUUUAGAAGACUAAACUUUUGUUAAGAAGGGGAGGAUGUAACGCCCAAGUAUUUUUUUAAGGGUAAUUUAGGAAAUUACUAAUAAUAAUUCAAUUAGUUAAUUAAUUAAUUUAAUAAAGUGGAAGAGGGGUAAAAGUGUAAUUUACAAAUAAAUACCCUAGGUAUAAAUUAGAAAUUCUAUUUCUUCUUGUUCUUUUCUGAAUAGAGUUCCUGUUCGCAUGAAUUUCAGAGAACAUAGGUUGGAGUCAGAUUUCAAGGUUGAAGAACAGAUCUCUAUACGUAAGAUUUUAACCCCUAGUUUAAUAUUUUAGAUUCAUUGAUUAAUUUCAAACACAUUAGAUAUCUUUUGGAAAACCCAAAUCUAGAUUAGGGUUAGUUUUUAUUUUUUUUUUAUUUUUUUUUUUUAAUUCGUUCUAAUAUCAAUAGUAAAAAUAAUAAUAAUAAUAAUAAAAAUUUAAAAAAAAUUUAAGAUUUUGAUUUAUUGUUGGUAUUUGGGAGAUCUUAAGUUUUAUUAGAUGAAAAAAAAAAAAGGUUCCUUGGAAGGUUUCAAUUUUAUAUUAGGGUUAAUUUUAUUAAAAAAAGAAAAGGGGCGUGUGCCAAAUGGAAGGAAGCCUUAUAUAUAUAUAUAUAUAUAUAUAUAAUGAAUCAUGAUGAUGGCAAUGGAAAAAAAAAAAAAAACUUGCUUUUUGGUUUGGUGUACCCAAGACAACUAGGUAAUGGUUGAGUGGCUUUUGAAUUGGUUAAUUAAAAUAAUAAUAUUUAGUUUUAGAUUAAUAAUUAAGAUAAUAGUAAUAAUAGUCUUUUUUUUUUUUGUAAUAAAUAGAAUGAGAGAUUUAGCAAUAUAUAUAUAGAAUUUUAUAAUGAAAUAAAAUUGUAAUUUAAUUAAAUUAGUACUGUGUUAUUAGAAACAAAUUGAGAAUUUAUUAAUUUUAUUUAAAUAAGGAAUAGAUUAGUUAAAUUAUAGAUAAAUAGUAAUAAUUAUUUCUCUUAUGUUAUAUUAGGAGAAGAAUAGAUUUUUCCUGAAUUAUUUUUCUCCCAAGCUUUCAAGGUCUUUGCAUAAUUUGAGGUAAGGGAAGUUAAUGCAAUAUUUAUAAAAUUUAAAUUAUUUUAUAUGUUAUUUUGAAUUGUGGAAAAGAAAAUGAUAUUUUGUUACCAUGCAUGGAUCAAAUUGUUUUGCACUAAAUAUUAUGUUGGAAUAUUUUGUUUUAUUUAUGACACAAAAUAUGAAGAUAUUAUGUUGUGUAAAUUUGAAUACUUGAACAAAAACAUCACUCUGGUUUAUUUGACCCUUGUCAACGAGAUAUAAUAGUUGACUAUUCGGCCCUGUCAACGGGAUAUAAUAGUUGACCUUUACAUUUCAUGGUAAGAAUGUAAUUGAUUUGGACCCCAACCUCUAGGGGUUUGGUUAGAGGUUACUAGUAGUAAUAGUAUUUGGUUCCGUCCACCAAGAACAAUUUGAGGCUAGCCACCCAUUUGAAAAGUCCCACCUAACUGGGCAUUUGAUAUUUGAUAACUAGAGUAAUGAAAAUUGAAUGGAUUUGAUUGAAUCUUAUGUGAAAGUGUUUGAAUUUGAUAUGAAAAUGGUUGGUUGAAUUUUGAAUAUAUUGGUAUUUUUGAAACUCUGAUAUUUGAUGAGAAAAAAAAAAUGAUAUCUCCUAUUUGAAAUGAAAAUAUUUGAUCCAUGAACUGCAUUAAUAUUCCUUAUUGGGUUGUGAGCUCAUUCCCAAUUGUUGAAAAAUUUUCAGGUACUCUUAGUUCGGGUGAGGAAUGAUGGCUAAGCUGAGGAAUGGUCAUCAUUAGGAUUUGACUUAGGAUUUUAUGUUGGAUUUUGUUUAACUGUUUGUUAUGUUCAUUUGGACCCUUUGGUAUUUGGAAGUUAUUUGGAUAUUGAUCCUUCAAAUUUUAUGUUAGACCAAAGGUGAGAUUUGGAGAUUUUGAAAUUUGUUCUAGUACUUGAAUUGUUUAAGUUUGCAAAUAUUUGGACAAUGGAUUUUGGAUAGUGGAUGUUUUAGUUUUGAAAUUGAAUUUUGAGGAUUUUAGAUUUUGUUCCGCUACUCUGAACAGGUAUUUGGUAAUUGGUAACUUCCGAUUACAAGAUAAUUGUUUGGGUCAGGUUACACUGUAAGCCUUCGGGUUUGAAGUGUGAAAUGACCGUCAUGCCCUUGGAGUGGGUCUUGAGGCGUGACACUUACCGAUUCAUCAUUCAAGGUAUAGAACUGUUCUAUCAUUGAUCCAAGGAAUUAACAUGUCUACUCAAGUCUCAGCAUCUUCUCUAGCCCAGAUUCCCAAACCCAAAAAUCGUCCUGGCAAACUUUCACCCCAACAUUUGGGGUGACCAAUUUAUCACCUGCACUCCUGAAGACUAUGCAUCAAUUAUAAAUUUGACAGUUAUUUUUCUUAAUAUGUUGGAUGAUAAAAUUUGUUGGUCAAGGUUACACGUGCUUGCAAAGAGGAGCAGAUUGAGGAUCUGAAAAAGGAAGUGAAAAGGGAAUUAACGGUUGUUGUUGUUGCUAACCCUUCCCAAUUGCUGAACUUCAUUGAUGCAUACCACUUUGAGCAAGAGAUAGAAGAAGCAUUACAACAAAUUUGUAAUAGUUUUCAUGAUUGCAAUGAUAUGGAUGGUGAUCUCUACAAUAUUGCUCUUGGAUUUCGACUACUAAGGCAACAAGGGUACAGUAUUUCAUGUUGUAAGAGACUAAGAAAAAAUUGUUAUGUUAAACCUUCUUAUCAUUCAAAAUCUUAUGUUCAAGUGGUGAUGUUUAUGUAGGUAUAUUGAACAAGUUUACGGAUGAAUGAGGUAGAUUCAAGGAAGCUUUGAUCAACGAUGUAAGAGGCAUGCUAGGCUUGUAUGAAGCUGCACAUCUGAGGGUUCAUGGUGAGGACAUACUUGCAGAAGCACUUACUUUCACCACCACUCACCUCGAGGCCAUGGUAGAAAGUUUAGGAUAUCCUCUUGCAGAACAAGUUGCCCAUGCCCUGAACCGACCAUUAGAAAAGGUUUGGAGAGGUUAGAGGCAAGAUGGUAUUUAUCUGUCUACCAAGUGUUGGUUUAAGGGUAUGGAAACAAAGGACUAACUCAAAAGACACAAACAAAAAACAUAAUGAAUAGUAAGAAAAACUUAUUAGUUGAGGCGUGACAAACACUGUUCUUGAAAUAGAUCCACCCUCUUCGAAAACGAACUGAAUGCACUAAGGUGCCAGUGGUCUACCUCCAGGAUUCAAUAGCCAGAUCUUGCCUUGGGUGCACUCUAUAAGUGAGACAUGUACAACUUGGUUUUGAAAAAAUUCCUCCAAAAAGAUGUAUGAAAGACUCUCUGAAAAAUUGGUAUUCAAAGAGUAAAAGGUGACCUGCUUUUAUAGGUCACCAACACAGUCCUAAUGGGACUCUACUUGUAAUCAGAGGACUCAAAGUGGAAUGAGAUUCUACUUAUAAGUGAAACAGGACUCUAUUAGCACAAUCCCAAUGGGAUUCUUCCCAAAGGUAAAAGACUAAGUCAAAUGGAAUAAAAAUUAAAUAAAAAAAAUUGAAUUUUGUAAAAAUUAGUCAAAUUCGCUAAAACACUUUUUCACAUUUACACUCUUCCUACACCAAGAUGAAGCUUUCCAUGAUAAAACUUUACCAGAGCUAGCCAAAUUAGAUUUCAAUCUAGUGCAGUCACUGCACAAGGAAGAGCUAAGCAAUCUUGUAAGGUUGGUUUUUAAAUCACCCCACAUGUACUUGGCCAUUCUUAUCACUUUCUUGUAUACUGAUCAUAUUAAUGUCUUUUAGGUGGUGGAAAGAAUUAGACUUUGUUACAAAGUUAUCUUUUGCAUGAGACAGAUUGGUUGAAUGCUACUUUUGUAUACAUGGGGUAUAUUUUGAGCCUCAAUACUUACGAGCUAAACGAAUUCUAACCAAAGUAAUUGCUAUGACAUCCAUUCUAGAUGAUAUCUAUGAUGCAUAUGGCACACCUGGUGAACUCAAGCUCUUCACAGAAGCCAUUGAGAGGUUUGCUACUUGCACAUUACCAACCUUGAUUGUGUAUAAUAUAUGUAUUUAUAUAUACCUAAAUCAAGGGUCAUUAUUUUAUUUUCAGGUGGGAUAUUAACAGCAUAGAUCAACUUCCAGAAUACAUGAAACCCUGCUAUGUGGCACUCUUUGAUGUGUACAAAGAAAUCGAGGAAGAGAUGGAGAAAGAAGGAAACCAAUAUAGGGUGCACUAUGCCAAAGAAGUAGUAGGACAUCUUUAACUCUGGAUUCCCACCUUUUGCAUUGAUGAUAUUUUAUAUGGUCUCAUAUAUACAUAGAUAUAACUUGGGUGAAUGUCCAUUAGAUGAAGAAUCAAGUUCGAGGUUACAUGAAGAACACGUACCAACACUUGAAGAGUACAUGUGUGUUGCACUAGUAAGCUUUGGAUACUACAUGCUUGCAACCACAUCCUUGGUGGGAAUGGGAGAAAUAGUAACAAAGGAGGCCUUUGAUUGGGUGACCAGCGAUCCUAAGAUUAUGCCAUCUUCAAAUUUCAUUGCGAGGCUCAUGGAUGACAUCACAUCACAUAAGGUAUGCAGAAUAUGUUAUUCAAGUGGGGAGAAUAUAACACACCGGUUUUUUUUUUUCUCAACUUUUGCAUUAUACAUGCAGUUUGAGCAAAAGAGAAGGCAUGUGGCCUCAGCCAUUGAAUGUUACAUGAAGUAAUAUGGUGUCUCUGAGGAACAAGUAUACAGCGAGCUUCAAAAUCAAAUUGAGAAUGCAUGGUUGGAUGUCAACCAGGAAUGCCUCAAACCUACUACUAUUCCAAUGCCUCUCCUUGCUCCUAUUCUAAAUCUUACACGAGUCUCGGAUGUCAUUUACAAAGAGCAAGAUGCGUACACACAUGUUGGGAAAGUGAUGAAGAAUAACAUUGCGUACACACAUGUAGUUGAUUAUCGUCCCCUAUGUAUUGCCUUGUGGAAGAAGUAAUAUCUAAUAAAUCAUUAUAAUAAGGUGAGGGAACAAUACGUAAUAAAUCAUUGUAAUAUGGAAAGGGGGACACAUCAUAUGUAGCACCUAGUUUCUCUGGGUUCAUAGUGUUUUACUUUUGAAUAUUCCCUGAAUAUUUAAAUAAGAAUAUGUAUUACUUAAAUCACCUGAAUAUAUUAUUUAUUAUAUUAUAUUCUUUAAUACAUAUGUAUUAUUGUGAUUCAACUUGAGGAGUAUUGAUACUGAGUCUUAAAAUACAUAUGUAUGUAGAAUAUAUGUCUACAAAAAAUCCGGAUCUCCUUGUUAAUGUGUAAUGGUGUUUUGGAGUACUACAAUACUCACCAAAUAACUUCUUUACACUUUAUAAUGGACACUGACUGGUGAGUUUAUAGUUAAUUAAAGAUUUCACUCGAUAGCAAAUUAUUAUUAUUAUUAUUAUUAUUGUUAUUGUUGUUGCUAGCGUUAUUAUUAUUUAAUUCAUUAUUAUGAAAAUUAUUAUUAUUAUUACUAUUUAAUUAUUAUUAUUAUUAGCUAUUAAUUUUAGUUUUUUCUUUUUCAUCUUUUCUUUUUUGUUGUUUGUUAUAUACUUCAUAAAAUUAUAAGUUAUGGUCUUUUAUUAGGUUGAAAUUGGAAGUUCAAGUUCAUUAAAGUAUGACACAGUUAACUUAGGUUCACUAAUUUUGUAAAAAAUUUGAUGCAUUUAUAGGAUAAUUAAAUAAUUCAACAAACUUAUCAUUUUACUAAUUAAGGUUUUUUAUUUUAUUUUAUUUUUUAAAAAACUUUUUUACAUGUAAGAAUACAGAAAUUAUGGUUCAAUGUGAAACUUUGGAAUUGCAUGAAUAUGAAAGUGAAAUUUGUUGGUGUCGUUCCCAACUAGAGUUAGGUUCAUCCAACUUCACUGGAGUCAGGUGGACUGCUUCCUUUCUCCAACUCGUGAACUUAGCCGAUACUAAGUUAUGUGAUAACACCCAAUUUUUCCGUUCGUGCUUCUUGAGAAGUCCGUCCAGUUGUAUUGGAAUCAGACAGACUUCUUCCAUGCACAAAAGGAUGUCCAGACAGGUGAUUCGAGCACGUCCCUCCUAAACUUAAGUCAGUUAAGGAUAGUUCUAACUUAUUUUUGUGGCAGAAAAUGAGUUUAUGUGCAUGCCUACCUUGUUCAUGCUUUUUGAGGGGUUUAUAUAGAGUUGAUGAUACUGUCCCUAUAGUGCUGACUAUACACUCUAGUCUUUCUUGUAAUGAUGAUUGCCCUUAGGGCGGUUGAUUGGUGCCAUCUAUUGACGUGCCAAAAUCUCGGACCAGCAACCGAUUGUCCAUUUAGCUUGCCAAUGUCUGGGAUUGUGUGUAACAAUUAAUUGACAUUGACUUUUGGGUGUAAAUGGAGUCCUGUCCACUGCUUAGAUGUCAGGCGUCUAAUCCACUGCUCAAAUGUCCUGUGUCUGGGCCAACGCUCAGACAUCAAGCAUAGUUGAUCAUGCAUGCCAGAAAUCCUGAGGACUUGAUUAGACUGAUUUUUUCGUCUGAGAGUCCAACGAGCCUAGCCUAUCGAUUCCGUUCAACCUUGUGGAAGAAGAGAAACCUCUCACUUCUUGUGUCAGACAUAACUUAUCUUGGUCCAAACGAAUUGAUCCCAGACGGGUUAUAAGUUUGUUCUGGUCGGCCAAGGGGUCUUAAGCUUGAAAAUGACACGUGAAGGGAAACCCCCCACAAUGCCCUUUUAAUCUGUCUACUUCUAUUCAGAUGAAGAGGAGAUGUUUUUGGAGCGUCCAGUUAGUUUCCUAUCUGAACAGGAAUUCUGGGAUCGUUUCCAUAUUCCAGAGAAUAUCCCUAUUCUUCUAAUAGACGACGAGGCGUUAUCCUCCGUUGACCUGCCCAACAACAUGAUGUAUUUUACUAAGGAACAAUUCGUUGCAGGGCUCCGUCUACCUAUCCCCUCUCUCUUCAAGCAGUUUCUUCAUUUUAUGUAAAUCCCUUCAGCUUUUCUUCAUCCGAAUUUUGUCCGGGUAUUGAUGGGAUGUAGUGUUCUAGACAUGCUCUUUCAGUUGAAUCUCUCAUUGUUGGAAGUUUUGCUUGUUUACAUUGUCAAAAUGAGCUGGAAAGAAAGGUUUAGCUUUUCUUCCCAUAUUCCUUACUUGCAGCCAGUGACUGGUCUUUUAGAUUCAUGCAAAGGCUAGGUAAAGGGGCAUGUCCUAGUCUCUGGUCCUUGGAGUGGUUCGUCUGAGGAACCAGAUGGAGUCUUUUAUCCACAACAUUCAUUGGAGAUUCCGAGUAGGAUACGCUUCCAUCACUUUCUCUAUAUUUUGCAAUUAUUUCUUCCUCGCUGUCAAUUUAUUGUUGAUCUUUUUGUUUGUGUGAUAUAGGCAAGGAGAGGUGGGGACGCCUUGUAGAGUGGGUAGACAAGGCUUCUUUCACCUAUUUAACAAGUUGUUCGAAAUAGACGCGUUCAAAUGGGCCCCUAAAGUUCUUUUGUAAGAUAAUAAGUUGCUAACGCUAAUUGAUAAUCCAAAGUCGUUCAUCAUCCCCGUAUUUCCUCGUCUGGCUCCCCCGUCUUUGGUGCCUGGUGAACAUUUCGUGCUAAAGGAUUUGCCAUUCUAUGAGGUUGCUCGUCUGGCAUAUUAUAAGGCAUGUUAGGCCCGUUUAGAGGAGUGAGAGAAAAAACAUCAGGAAGGGACAUUGAGGCAAGCUCUAACUGCUAGUCUUCUAUCCUCCAGUUUUGUUGUCCAUCCUCUCACUAAAAAGAGGACGAAACCUACUGCUUCGCCUAUCUGGAAGGUAAGGACUCUGCCUCCUUCAUCUUUAUCUUCUCCAUCAACUUCAUCAUCUUCGUCAUCUCCAUCUUCUAGUGGCAAGCCAAAAUCAUGGGUUGUCCAGGUAGUGUCCCUUAUUAUUUGCGAGGAGGAAAAAGAAGAGGAUAUGGCUUCAAACUUGAGGGUCGGAUUUCGUGAGAGACAGCGCAAGUGCUUGUCCAAAUCCAUUGUUGUCAAUCCUACCCCCUCUAAGAAAGCUUGUUCAAAACCUACUUCAGCUCUUGCGCUCGUGUCGGUUCCUCUAACUACUGCUACAGUCUUCACCCUUAAGCUAGAUGAGAAACUUCCUUCUGUUGAUGAACAUGUUUAUCAUGAGACGAGGAUACCCUUCAUCAGCACGAACAACUUCAACAAAGAAUCGUUCGAAUACAUGACUUUUUUUUCUCUUUGUUCGAAGUCAACCUAUGUCCCCAAUCGGGAGGAGGUAUCUGAGCUUUUGAAGUGAAUCCCUGUCUUCACCGAAAGAGAGUCCCUGGUACAAAACAUAGGGUACUCUUUCCAGCUACUUAGCAAAUCCCAAUCGAGAUAGACAACGAUCCUAGUCGAUCUUUCAUGACCUGGCUUUUGUAUGACACUCCGAAUAUCGCCAUUUCUCGCAUUAUUCCCAUGCAAGACUAUAAGGCUUUUGAAAUGACAAAUAUGGUAAGUCACCUACCCUUUUCUUCUCAUUUUUCCUUAGCCUCUUGUUUCACAACGAUUUCUUUAUUGCAUCUUCAGGUGAUAGUCGAAGUUUGAAACCUCAUGCGGCAACACACUCCUUUUUUCUACCGAUUGGAAACAAUCGAGACCAUGAGGCCAUACUUUGCCCAUAAUAUGGAUGGGAAUGAGGAUCUUCUUGCCAGCUUGGAGACAAUAAAGAGUGAAGCUGCUGUUGCCCAAAAGCUUGUUAAAGAAGAAAUCGGUCUAUUGAGGAAGGCCGAGGAAGAGAAGGAGACAGUUCAAACUGAAGCUUGCCAACUAGUUGAAAAGAAGGAAACCAUGGUGGUUGACAAAAAAAAAGGCUGAAGAAGAGGCUGCCUAGCUGAGGCAGGAGCUACAGGAUCUCCGAGCAGGGUUUGCCUCUCAGAAAGAAGACUUGGAGGUUCACUACCAAAAGCAAGUGGAUGACAUGUUCUUGUACGACUAUCGUUGUUGUAUGAAGAAGCAUGGCAUCAUCCAUGAUGCUCUGAGUUUUCCUUUGGAUGACGAUGAUGAGUUUUUAGGCGACCCUGCCCAGGGAGGAGGAGAUGUUUUCGGAGACGAUCCUUAUGGCGAGUAGGCUUGAUCUCUUUGUUUGUAUUUAUUUAUUAUGGUUGGACGUGGCCUAGACUGCUAUAUCUAUAAAGACAAUGGAUGCUUUAUUUUUUCAAAUAUAUUUACUUUAUCCGUUUGUCUCUCAUACAUUGUUUUCAUAAGCAAACUUUAUUGAAAGUAAUACUUUAAAUUGGAUACAUUCUAAGAGCAGAGCAGGGGUACGUUGUCUAGUGUUUGAAAAUGGUAUACCCCUAAGUCUCUAGCCUUAGUUACAACAUAUGGCCCUUCCCAGUUAGCUUGAAGCUUUUCGGCUCCUAUUUCAGCUGUGUUCUCAAAUAUUCUUCUGAGGACUAAAGUUCCUAGCCAGAAAAACCAUGGUCGUGUUUUUUUGUUGUAAUGGGUGAUCGUCUUUUGAUGGUAAGAAACCAUUCAGAUAGUUAUGUCUCCUAGCAUUUCAUCUGCCCAAUCCAACUGUCUUAUGAGUUCUUCAUCAUUGUUCCUCUGAUCUUAUACAACUGUUUUAGUGGUAGGCAUGUCAAUUUCAGUUGGAAUAAUGACCUUCAUCCCAUAAGCAAGGGCAAAAGGAGUAGUUCCUAUUGGCCGUUUGGAUGUCGUUUUGUAAGCCCAUAAGAUUCCGAGCAGUUCAUCCACCCAUUUUCCUUUAGCUCCUUCCAGCAUUUUUUUAAUGCAUUCAGUAGGGUUUUGUUUGUCGCCUCAGCUUGCCCGUUACUCUACGGAUAGCAAAGUGUUGAAUACAAAUUCUUGAUGUUUAACUUCAAAUAGAAAGUUCGGAAGACGGUAUUGUAUGAUUGCUCGCAAAACUCCAAAUCGACAUACGAUGUUUUUCUAGACGAACUUGAAGACAUCCUUAUCUUUGAUGCUAGCAUAGUGUCACGGACUUAGUCGUUCACUAAGCUCGUGCGGCACUUAGACAAGCCAAGACGCUUGAUCUUGCUAAGUCAGCCUUGCUCCCAAUACUUAGCUCACCCGGCUAAGACACUCGCGACUCAAAAGCUUAAGAAGCUUGGUAGGCAACUCCUUAAAGAAUGGAAGCUUUCUAUUACUCAAAGAAGCCUUUACAAGUGCUUGGAUGCUCACUUGCUUGGUUAGGAAGUGAUUUUGGGUGGUGCCUUGGCCAAAUGAGGCCCUCACCUAUUUAUAGGCACCAAGGGAACUCUCUAGAACCUUGGAGGGUUCCCUUACAAAUCAAGAAUAUUCUAGAACAUCCUACCCUAUUCUAUGUACAACCCUAUGUACAAGAAUAUACAAGAGAUUCCUAGAAGUCUCUAGAAAGCCUUGGACUCCUCCCAUGCCUUCCACCAUAGUGUAGAGAUGUGUGGACAUCUCUAGGCAUUUCUAGAACCUUCCACACUCUUCCCACCAAUGACUUNNNNNNNNNNNNNNNNNNNNNNNNNNNNNNNNNNNNNNNNNNNNNNNNNNNNNNNNNNNNNNNNNNNNNNNNNNNNNNNNNNNNNNNNNNNNNNNNNNNNNNNNNNNNNNNNNNNNNNNNNNNNNNNNNNNNNNNNNNNNNNNNNNNNNNNNNNNNNNNNNNNNNNNNNNNNNNNNNNNNNNNNNNNNNNNNNNNNNNNNNNNNNNNNNNNNNNNNNNNNNNNNNNNNNNNNNNNNNNNNNNNNNNNNNNNNNNNNNNNNNNNNNNNNNNNNNNNNNNNNNNNNNNNNNNNNNNNNNNNNNNNNNNNNNNNNNNNNNNNNNNNNNNNNNNNNNNNNNNNNNNNNNNNNNNNNNNNNNNNNNNNNNNNNNNNNNNNNNNNNNNNNNNNNNNNNNNNNNNNNNNNNNNNNNNNNNNNNNNNNNNNNNNNNNNNNNNNNNNNNNNNNNNNNNNNNNNNNNNNNNNNNNNNNNNNNNNNNNNNNNNNNNNNNNNNNNNNNNNNNNNNNNNNNNNNNNNNNNNNNNNNNNNNNNNNNNNNNNNNNNNNNNNNNNNNNNNNNNNNNNNNNNNNNNNNNNNNNNNNNNNNNNNNNNNNNNNNNNNNNNNNNNNNNNNNNNNNNNNNNNNNNNNNNNNNNNNNNNNNNNNNNNNNNNNNNNNNNNNNNNNNNNNNNNNNNNNNNNNNNNNNNNNNNNNNNNNNNNNNNNNNNNNNNNNNNNNNNNNNNNNNNNNNNNNNNNNNNNNNNNNNNNNNNNNNNNNNNNNNNNNNNNNNNNNNNNNNNNNNNNNNNNNNNNNNNNNNNNNNNNNNNNNNNNNNNNNNNNNNNNNNNNNNNNNNNNNNNNNNNNNNNNNNNNNNNNNNNNNNNNNNNNNNNNNNNNNNNNNNNNNNNNNNNNNNNNNNNNNNNNNNNNNNNNNNNNNNNNNNNNNNNNNNNNNNNNNNNNNNNNNNNNNNNNNNNNNNNNNNNNNNNNNNNNNNNNNNNNNNNNNNNNNNNNNNNNNNNNNNNNNNNNNNNNNNNNNNNNNNNNNNNNNNNNNNNNNNNNNAGCCGCCUCAUCCGUCAAUGCGAUAGCCUCAAAGUAUCGCUCCAUAUGCCAUAAGAAGUUAUCCAACUCCUUGGCAUCCCGAUUGCCACUAAACCUAUGUGGCUUCGGCACCUCCACCCUAGAUGCCUCUUGUGUGGCCAUGACCCGUGCCGACACAGCAGCCUUGUAGAUGGCCAACUCCUGCCUAACUUCCUGGUCUCGGGACUCCAUUCGAGUGGCCAAGGCCUCUAUCCUUGACUCCAUGCUAGCAAGCAUGCUCAAGACCUUUCCUUGGAAGGACACAAACUCCUCGUGCGACACUGGUUGAACCUGUGAGAUUAGCACCCCCUCGCGAAGGUCUUGGAUCUGCUCCCUUAGAUCCUCUAAGCCCUUCUCCAUGCCUUGCUCGAUCAAGUCCAACCCUUCCCGAGUGUCCGCCAUGGCUAGCUCCACCUUCGCUAACCUUGCCUCCAUGUUGGCAACGGCAUCACGAGAUUUAUCCUUCCUGCCCCUGCCCCGUGCAGUAGGCUCGGUCUCUCUCCCACGGGUUUGCUCACUAGUCUCCUCCACGUUAGAGCCCGACAUGCUUCCUUUGCUAUGCCCACCUCGUAACCGCGCUCUGAUACCACUUGUCACGGACUUAGUCGUUCACUAAGCUCGUGCGGCACUUAGACAAGCCAAGACGCUUGAUCUUGCUAAGUCAGCCUUGCUCCCAAUACUUAGCUCACCCGGCUAAGACACUCGCGACUCAAAAGCUUAAGAAGCUUGGUAGGCAACUCCUUAAAGAAUGGAAGCUUUCUAUUACUCAAAGAAGCCUUUACAAGUGCUUGGAUGCUCACUUGCUUGGUUAGGAAGUGAUUUUGGGUGGUGCCUUGGCCAAAUGAGGCCCUCACCUAUUUAUAGGCACCAAGGGAACUCUCUAGAACCUUGGAGGGUUCCCUUACAAAUCAAGAAUAUUCUAGAACAUCCUACCCUAUUCUAUGUACAACCCUAUGUACAAGAAUAUACAAGAGAUUCCUAGAAGUCUCUAGAAAGCCUUGGACUCCUCCCAUGCCUUCCACCAUAGUGUAGAGAUGUGUGGACAUCUCUAGGCAUUUCUAGAACCUUCCACACUCUUCCCACCAAUGACUUAGUGUAGAUGGCUCCAGGAGUCUCCAGAAGCUUCCCUCCUUCUAUAUAAGCCCAUGGGGAGGGUCAUUUGAAGCAUCCUGUGACAAUAGGCUUCUGUUUCCACCCACUUGCUAAAAUAGUCAGUUGCAACGAGUAAAACUUUUUUUGAGCUAUUGCAACAAGUAAGGGACAAAUUAUGUCGAUCCCCCACUGCGCAAACAACCAAGGGCUUGUGACCAGACUGAGAGCUUCAGAAUGUACACGGGAAAUGGGAGCAUGUCUUUGACACCAGUCACAUCUCUUAAAAUAGUUUUCAGUGUUUUGUUUCAUGGUGGGCCAAUAGUACCCUUGCAUGUAAGCACGAUGUGCCAAGGUUCGUUCGCCUGUAUGAUUUCUAUAUACGCUUUCAUAGAGUUCGGCCAGGACAUACUUGGCUUCUGGCUUGCUCAAACACCUUAGGUAUGGUUCUCUAAAUGAUCAUCUAUAAAGCAGGUCAUUGAUUAAAGUGAAGCGAGAUGUUUGCACGCAGAGUCUGUGCAAUUGCUUCCAAUCUUCUAGUAAUUCUCUCGUCUAAAGGUAUUUUACAAUGUCAUGCAUCCAGCCAAGGUUUGCUUCAUUGGUACUGCACACUAGUUCGGGUGUGGCCUGAAGGUAGAUAGACAACAUCAUUGCCUCUUUUAUAAGGAGAGUGGCAACUAUUCCGGCCAAUGCAUCCGCCUUCAUGUUCUCCUUUCGGGGUACCAGUCUAACAAUCCACUCAUCUAGAUUUUUCAAGUGAUCUUCCACCAUGGCGAGGUAGCGAGCCAUGCGUUCGUCCAUUACUUCAUACUCUCGUUGAAUUUUCCCAACAAUUAGUUAAAAGUCGCUUCUGAUUUUCAAGUUUGUUGCAGCCAGUGUUAAGGCAAGAUCUAGCCUAACUAGGACAAAUUCAUAUCCUACUUUCGUACAAUCUCUCACAAAAUUCAUACACUCUCUCACAAAGUUCCUACCAUCUCUCACAAAGUUCGUACCCUCUCUCACAAAGUUCAUACCACAUCUCACAAAAUUCGUACACUUUCUCACAAAGUUCAUACUAUUUCUCACAAAGUUGGUACCUCUUCUCACAAAGUUCAUACCCUCUAUCACAAAGUUCAUACACUCUCUCACAAAGUUCGUACCAUGUCUCACAAAGUUCGUACAAUCUCUCACAAAGUUCAUACCUCAUCUCACAAAGUCCGUACCACAUCUCACAAUGUUCGUACCCCCUCUCAUAAAGUCCAUACCCCUUCUCACAAGUUCAUACCCCUUCUCACAAAGUUCGUACCCCCUCUUACAAAGUUCGUACCCCCUCUUACAAAGUUAGUACCACCUCUCAUAAAGUUCAUACCCCCCUCUUACAAAGUUUGUACCCCAUCUCACAAAGUUCUUACCACCUCUCAAAAAGUUCGUACCAUCUCUCACAAAGUACGUACCAUCUCUCACAAAGUAAGUACCAUUUCUCACAAAGUUCGUACACUCUCUCACAAAGUUCAUACCCUCUCUCACAAAGUUCGUACCAUCUCUCACAAAGUUUGUACCCCCUCUGAAAAAGUUCGUACCCUCUCUCACAAAGUUCGUACUAUUCCUCACAAAGUUCAUAUCAUCUCUCACAAAGUUCGUACCAUCUCUCACAAAGUUCGUACCCCCUCUAACAAAGUUUGUACCCCCUCUCACAGAAUUUGUACUCUCUCUCACAAAGGUCAUACCCUCUCUCACAAUGUUUGUACCCCUUCUCACAUUGUUUGUAUCAUCUAUCACAAUUUUCGUACCCCCUCUCACAUUGUUCGUACCCCUUCUCACAGUGUUUUCCUUCAAGAUAUAUAAAACUUCAUCUUCAAAUUUAAUCUACAAAUAAACAAAAUAAUAAUAUAAAAAUAUUAAUGACAAUUUAAUAAUAAAUGACUAAAUUGUCUCAAUUUGAUUAAUAAUAACUCAUAAAAAAAAAUUCAAAAAUCUAAAUGUUAUAAAGCAUUACAUAUUGUUCAUACCCUUUCUCACAAUGUUUGUACCCCCUCUCACAUUGUUCGUACCCCUUCUCACAUUGUUUUCCUUCUUCAAGAUAUAUAAAACUUCAUCUUCAAAUUUAAUCUAUAAAUAAACAAAAUAAUAAUGUAAAAAUAUUAAUGACAAUUUCAUAACAAAUGACUAAAUUGUUUCAAUUUGAUUAAUAAUAACUCAUAAAAAAAAUUCAAAAAUCUAAAUGUUGUAAAGCAUUACAUAUUUAAAUGUCAUUUAACAUGACAUUUCUACCUACAAAAUUUAUAUUUAAAUAAAAAAUAUCAAAUAUUACCUUUGACACUUGUAAUCACUUGAAAUCUUUCAUCUUUUUCAUAUAAUAGAAAUUUUAAAUUUUCUCCCUCAAAAAGUUUCAAACUUGAUCUUCAAAUUUGAUUUAUCAAAACACAUCUCACAUAUUUUAUAAUAUGGUAGUUGAAACUAUUUAAUUUUUAUAUUAAAUUAGUAUCCCUUUUUGUAAAUAUGAAUAAUGAGAGUAUAAGGAUAGUUGUUAGAAUUUUCUUUUUUUAGAUAGAAUUAGGUAACAUUAAAUAAUAAAUUAUAUUUGAUAUUUAAUAAUAAAUUAUAAAAAAAUUGUAAUAUUUAGAUAUGUAUGAAUUGCAUGUAAUUAUUUCUCACAAGCAAGCCAUCUUUAUCGGUUUAAUAAGUUUUUAAUUUUUUUUUUUAAGUGGGUAGGUACCCAAAAUAAAGAGUGGGUACCAAAGAACGAUAUAUAUUUUGUCUAUAUUCUGUAAGUGACUGAAUGAUAGAUGCCUGUUGGUGAAAGAGAUGCCUGUACGUCGGCUUAAGAGAUGUUCUUUAUAUCAAACAAUAUAUAUUUAUCUAUAUUCUGUAAGGGGCUGAAUGAUAAGAUGCCUGUUGGUCAAAGAGAUGCCUGUACGUUUGUCUCAAAGAUGCUUGUUUAUAUCUAAGAAACAAAAGAUUCACAUAAAAAAAAAAAAUGAUGCUUAGAUUAUAAUAUUGAUCCUUGUUCUAUUUGGUUUAAGAGAAUAGUUUGACAUACAUGCAUAAGGUAAUUAAUAAAUUCCUGGUCAAGUGUCACGUUCAAACAAAUUCCUGGUCAAGUGUCACGUUCAAACAAGAAGAUUAAUUAAUAAAAAAGGUCAUUUCAAGGAGUAAAAAAAUUAUGAAAAAUAUAUCAGUUUUAACCACUAAUAUUAAUUAUUAGCAAAAGUCACUUUGAACCAUAAAAAAAUAAAAAAUAAAAAAAAUUAAUAACAAAAUAUCACGUUGAACCACAAAUAUUAACUCACAGCAAAAGGUCACCCUACGCCAUACCUACUAACAGAAACAUGUUCAUUAGUUAACAUGUACACCAAACCACCAAGAGAGACAACACCUCAUAAAACAGUUUUUAAGACCAAAUUUUAAGAACAGUUUUUUAUGUUUUUAGAAACAUAAUUGUGUUUGGGAAUUGAAUUUUGAAAAAUACUUUUUAUUUUCAAAAACAAAAAAAAAACAUGUUUAGUUGAGUUAAUAAAAAAAGUUUUUAGAACAAGUAAAACAAAAAAAUAUAUUUGAAAGUUGCUUUUUUUUUUAAUUGAGAAUUUUCUUUAAUUAACUUGAUAUUGUAAUUAUAUACAUAAUUUUUAGAUUUACAUUUCAUUUAAAUUAAAAACUAUUAUAUUAUGAUAUUUAUUUGCAUGAGUUAUAAUUUUUUCAACAAAGGAUUACUUUACCUAAUUGAUGAAGGGUAAUAAAGGGACUCAUAAAUCUGCUCAUCUACAUCAUUUAUUUCAUCUAAUGAAAAGGUAUCAACAACCAUUGAUAUAAUCUACUAGCUAAAACAAAAAUGUAACAACAGCAACAAUUCAAGUAUUGGUACAUUUCAGAUCACUACAAAUUAAAAGACCUUUUGGGUACUUACAGGCGAAGAAUAAAGUGCAAACCAGCAGGAGAUAGACUCAAUAAACGAAUACAACUCAAUGGUGUAUUUAAUACUUAGAUCAGGCCUCCUUCCCCUGGAAGUUGUAAACAUGGAAUGAGCACCUGCAAAUCAAAGCAAGGGAACAGACAAAAACCAUUUUUUGUUACACUACAAGAACUAGACCAAGAGUAGAACCUGUAAAAUCAUAGUAAUCAAACACCAAAGGUCCAAAACCAGUGAUCCAUUUGCUAGAAAAGAGAAAUCAAAUUAAUGAAACACAUAUCACAAUCAUUUUAAAUAGAGCAGAGGUCAUUCAAAACCUAUGAAACUCUAGACGAUGUGUUAAUGAACCAGGAAAUAUUUUAAGAAAUCACACAAAGUGAUCUAUCUUAACCUAGUGUUAAUAUAAAAGAUUCAUAAUCCCAAGAUAGGGAAAAAAACAAAUACGCAGCCGAGAAUCAAACCAAUUAGGUAGAAGACAAAAAAAAAAAAAAACAUUUCAAAUUAAAUAUAUACUCCAAUCCGAAUCUCAAAACCAUAAAUUAUUUUCAUGGAGAAGACAAAGAAAGGAAGAAAAAGACAAUACCUAAAACACUGAGUCUCCUUCUCAUUGAAUCCCCUUGAUGCAAAAGAUGCAAAGGUUAUUCUUAGCUCUUCAUUAGGCAAAGAGAUCCAUAUGUUGCGACAUCUGCAAAAGCCUAACUGUUAUCUCUCUUGCCAAUAUCCAGAGGGUAGAAUAGGCCACCAGCCUAAAAUUCAAAGCUUCAUAACACCAUCAAAUAGCGUACAUACAAGCACAUGAACACAUAGAGAGAGACUUUUUACACGAACAGCACCUUCUCUGGCGGCUAAUACAAGAAUAUCAGCACGUGAGGGUAGGUUGCUUCCAGCUCUUCCUUGAUGGAUUCAAUUAUAUCAAAGCCUUUUAGAGUUUCAUUAGAAAGCGAAUCUUUCUCUGAAUGGAUUCCAAUAUUUUUCUUGCCGUCAGUCUCUUCCGUGCACAACCCUUUCAAAUCAUGGGCCCCAAAAACAAACCAAAUUCCACAUACUUUUCAACUAAAUACAACCAUGAAUGCCAGUGCUGCCCUAUAAAUAAUAUGGAGCUUGCCAAGCUAUUUCUCUCAUACCUACCAAUUCAUCAUUCAAGGUAUAGUACUGUUCUAUCAUUGUUCCAAGGAAUUAACAUGUCUACUCAAGUCUCAGCAUCUUCUCUAGCCCAGAUUCCCAAACCUAAAAAUCGUCCUGUGGCAAACUAUCACCCCAACAUUUGGGGUGACCAGUUUAUCUCCUACAUUCCUGAAGACAAGGUAAUUGAAUGAAAAUAUGCAUCAAGUUUAAUGGCUUACAUACUUAUUUGGCAGUUAUUUUUCUUAAUGUGUUGGAUGAAAAAAAAUUUUGGUCCAGGUUACACGUGCCUGCAAAGAGGAGCAGUUUGUGGAUCUGAAAAAGGAAGUGAAAAGGAAAUUAACGGCUGCUGCUGUUGCUAACCCUUCCCAAUUGCUGAACUUCAUUGAUGCAGUGCAACGUCUUGGGGUGGCAUACCACUUUGAGCAAGAGAUAGAAGAAGCAUUGCAACAUAUUUGUAACAGUUUUCAUGACUGCAAUGAUAUGGAUGGUGAUCUCUACAAUAUUGCUCUUGGAUUUCGACUACUAAGGCAACAAGGGUACAGUAUUUCAUGUGGUAAGAGACUAAGAAAAAAAUGUUAUGUUCAACCUUCUUAUCAUUUAAAUCUUAUGUUCAAGUGGUGAUGUUUGUGUAGGCAUAUUCAACAAGUUUAUGGAUGAACGAGGUAGAUUCAAGGAAGCUUUGAUCAGCGAUGUAAGAGGCAUGCUAUGCUUGUAUGAAGCUGCACAUCUGAGGGUUCAUGGAGAGGACAUAAUUGCAAAAGCACUUGCUUUCACCACCACUCACCUCAAGGCCAUGGUAGAAAGUUUAGGAUACCAUCUUGCAGAACAAGUUGCUCAUGCCCUGAACCGGCCCAUUAGAAAAGGUUUGGAGAGGCUAGAGGCAAGAUGGUAUAUAUCUGUCUACCAAGAUGAAGCUUUCCAUGAUAAAACUUUACUAGAGCUAGCAAAAUUAGAUUUCAAUCUAGUGCAGUCACUGCACAAGGAAGAGCUAAGCAAAUCUUGCAAGGUUGGUUUUUAGAUCACCCCACAUGUACUUGGCCAUUCUUAUCACUUUCCUGUAUGCUGAUCAUAUUAAUGUCUUUUAGGUGGUGGAAAGAAUUAGACUUUGCUACAAAGUUACCUUUUGCACGAGACAGAUUGGUUGAAUGCUACUUUUGGAUACUUGGGGUGUAUUUUGAGCCUCAAUACUUACGGGGUAGACGAAUUCUAACCAAAGUAAUUGCCAUGACAUCCAUUCUAGAUGAUAUCCAUGAUGCAUAUGGCACACCUGAAGAACUCAAGCUCUUCAAGGAAGCCAUUGAGAGGUUUGCUCCUUGCACAUUACCAACCUUGAUUGUGUAUAAUAGAUGUAUUCAUAUAUACCUAAAUCAAGGGUCGUUAUUUUAUUUUCAGGUGGGAUAUUAACAGCAUAGAUCAGCUUCCAGAAUACAUGAAACUCUGCUAUGCGUCACUCUUAGAUGUGUACAAAGAAAUCGAGGAAGAGAUGGAGAAAGAAGGAAACCAAUAUCGGGUUCACUAUGCCAAAGAAGUAGUAGGACAUCUUUAACUCUGGAUCCCCACCUUUUGUAUUGAUGAUAUUUUAUAUGGUCUCAUAUAUACAUAGAUAUAACUUGGAUGAAUGUUCUUUAGAUGAAGAAUCAAGUUCGAGCUUACUUUGCUGAGGCCAAAUGGUUACAUGAAGAACACGUACCAACAAUUGAAGACUACAUGCGUGUUGCACUAGUAAGCUCUGGAUACUGCAUGCUUGUAACCACGUCCUUGGUGGGAAUGGGAGAAAUAGCAACAAAGGAGGCCUUUGAUUGGAUGACCAGCGAUCCUAAGAUUAUGUCAUCUUCAAAUUUCAUUGCGAGGCUCAUGGAUGACAUCAAAUCACAUAAGGUAUGCAGAAUAUGUGAUUCAAAUGGGGAGACUAAAACACUAUGGUUUUUCCUCAACUUUUGUAUUAUACAUGCAGUUUGAGCAAAAGAGACGACAUGUGGCCUCAGCUGUUGAAUGUUACAUGAAGCAAUAUGGUGUCUCUGAGGAACAAGUAUACAGUGAAUUUCAAAAGCAAAUUGAGAAUGCAUGGCUGGAUAUUAACCAGGAAUGCCUCAAACCUACUGCUGUUUCAAUGCCUCUCCUUGCUCGUAUUCUCAAUCUUACACGAACCGCGGAUGUCUUUUACAAAGAGCAAGAUUCGUUCACACAUGUUGGGAAAGUGAUGAGGGAUAACAUUGCGUCUGUCUUCAUUAACGCUGUAAUAUAACCAAAUAGAGUAGUUGAUUAC
RNAcentral lists this long non-coding RNA (83348 nucleotides) under Vitis vinifera (wine grape). RNAcentral describes it as "long non-coding RNA (VVIN_LNC007086)". Lineage: Eukaryota; Viridiplantae; Streptophyta; Magnoliopsida; Vitales; Vitaceae. The record is from RNAcentral.